RNAcentral lists this long non-coding RNA (78597 nucleotides) under Theobroma cacao (cacao). Its description in RNAcentral is "long non-coding RNA (TCAC_LNC006153)". The record is from RNAcentral. Lineage: Eukaryota; Viridiplantae; Streptophyta; Magnoliopsida; Malvales; Malvaceae.
UCAUCUUUUUGGUAAAAUCCAAGAAUGUUCUUUCACCUAGAGAAUUUCUUAAGACACUUAUCUUUUCGAGUUUCACAAGGAAAUCUCAUUAUCGGGAUCAUUGUUUGUACAUUAGAUAUAGGUGUGUGUGCCAAUAAAUUGUAAACUUUCAAUUAUUUAUUACUAUCAACAACCUUUUAUAGAAAAGAUUUCCUAAACCCUUUCAUCACUAUAGUAAAAUCUGUAAAUAUCCUCUUACUUAGAUAAUUCCUCGAGGAAACUAAUCAUUUCAAGCGCUUUGAGUAAAUCCCAUUAUUGAAGUUGACAAUUAUGCCUAGAAGAAGUGUCGCAUGAUAAGAUGCAAAUUACAAUUUAUUUAAGGUUUGUUUGGUAACCAUAAAAUAACUUUUAAUUUUUUUUCGUGUAAAAUAUAUUACUAGAAAAUCUAAUAUUUUUUGUUAUUUAGAUAAACUGUCGAAAAUUUUUUUUAUUAUUUGGAUUAUCUUAUGAAAAAUAUUUUUUAGUAUUCAUUUUCUUAAAAAAAAUUAUCUUCAAAAGUUUUCUUCAAAACCACAUUUAGUAACAUUAUAAUCUAAAAAAGUAAUAUCGUACCAAUUUAGUUAAACUCAACAAAUAUUAUCCAAAAACAAUAGAAAAGAGAGAAAAGAUUACUCAAAUUACAUACAUGUUGAAGAAAACUUAUUUUUAAGGGAUUAACUAUAGUUAACUAAUUUUAAGAAAAUCAGUUUUACCUCAUUCUUCAUUAGCUUCAAUAAAGACUUUUGAAAGAUAUUUUGAAGAUAAAGUGGUUGGUUAGAGUUCAUUCUAUCUUUUAUUUUUUUUCUCAAACAAUAGACUUUAGAGUUGACACAACAUCCAUAUUUCAAUCAAACAUUUGAGAUUGAAGUACAAAUCUAGAAACAAAAACCCAUUCGCCCAAAAGGAACAAAACUAGCUCAACCAUUCACCUAAGAAAUCCUAAGUUUGCAUAAAAUCCCCCAUUUUACAAACUUGCAUUGAAUACCUAUAUAACAAGCCUACAAGCUACAUAAUACACAUCUAGGAAAGCAACAAAUCAUUGUAGAUAAGACAAACAAAAAAACAACCUUUAAAAUAAAUAGAUACAUGUAUCCAAUCCUUAAAAGGCAAGUUAUGUCCCAAUUCUUUCAUGGUCUGUAAUAAGCUUCAAACUGAUAUGAUGAAUCUUGAAAUCUAAAAUUUAGAGAUCUUCUCUUUUGGUAGAUAGUAUUGUUUAUUGAAGUAUCCAUGGUUGACUUUGAGUUUUUGUACCAAGCUCUUCAAAUCGACAAUAGAUCUUGAAAGAGGAAGGUUAUUGAAAGAAAAAGGAGUUUUCUUUUGAAAAAAGAAAAGAAAAAGAGGAAAACAAAGAGAGUGGGAGGUGUAGGCCAUUGCAAUAGGAAAAAGAGAAACACAAUUUUGAUAGCAAAAGAAGAGAAAGAAAAAAGAAAGGGAGGAAACAAAGGAAAGGUUACUGGUCAAGAAGACUUGCGAUGUUGCCAACAAUAGUGGAAGGAGGAAGGAAAAGUAGUAGAUCAAGUGAGAGAGAAAAUGGGUUGGGACAGAGUGGGAAGAGCAAGAAGAAGACUGGGACAGAGAAAGAGCUUGUGUUUUGGAAAUUGUGUUACGCCUUUAUGGGGUCAAUGGCUUAUUUUUCGUUGACUUUGUAAAAGGUUUUACUUUUUGAAUACUUUUGCACUCAACCAAACACUUAAAUUACUGAAAAUAUUUUUUAGAAAAUAUUUUCAUGCUUUCCAAAUAGACCCUUAAUAUGAAUCAAAGUCUUUUACUGAGAGCAUUUCUCAGAUCCUUCCAUCUUUAUUGUAAAAUUUGAGAACAAAUCUUCACUUAGAGAAUUUUUCAGGAAAGUUUAUCCUUACAAACUCCUUGGGAAGGUAUCAACAUUGGAGACAUCGUUUGUUUUAAAAUAUAUACAUCAUAAUGCAAAAUUUAGUUUAUUUAAUAUGAAUGACGACUUUUUAUUGAAAGCGUAACCUAUAUUCUUUUAUCUUUUUAGUUAAAUCCAAGAACGUUCUCCUACCUAGAGAGUUUUCUGGGUGAUUUAUCCUUACAAGCCUCUUGAGAGAGUCUCAUCAUCAAAGUAGUUGUUUGUUAUGCAAUAAUAUUUACCAAAAAUGUAUGACAUGAAUAUUUAUGUGUAUGUACCUAUGAUAAAAAAAUGGUUAGAAUGUUUAUAUACUAUAUUUUUCAUUAUCAUUAUACCUUCAUUUUAUAUUAUUAUUAUUGUUAUCUAAUCUUAAAAUUAUUACAUUUAAUUUCGUACAGAUUAACUUAAAUUUAAAAUAAAUAAAUAAAUUCUACUGAUAUAUUUUAAACCCUAGUGAUUUAUAUAUUUUACUUUUAUCAUCAUAUUUUUCUAUUACAUAUAUAUUUUUAACAUCCUUCCAACCUACAUAUAUUUCAUAUAUAUUUUUUAUAUAUCUAUCCACUGUAUUAUUCAUACAUAUAUAUUAAAUUUAUAAUUUUUAGAAUUUAUUAUCAUAUUAUUUAAUAGUUAAAAUGACUAACAAAAUAAAAAUAAAAAUAAUUCCAAAAAACAUGCCAAUCAACAUCCUAUAACCCAAUAGGACAAAAAUGUAAAACGAAAGGCCUAAGUAACAUAUAAUUUGUUCCUAACUAACCCAAGAUGAGAAGCCAAUGCCUGGUCAAAGCCUAAAAUAGUGUAAGCGGGCUUUCAUGGCAGCUUUUUAAUAGGCCUAGCUUGAAGACAAUAAUGAGUCGAAGAACUAAUCUUUCAAAACAAUGUUGUUUCGUUCUUCCCCUUUUAAACCGAGUCGGCAAAAACAUCAUUUUCUUUCCCCUAUAUCAUGAGCCAACCUUGUAUCAGACUAUGAUCGGGUAGACUUGUCUAGGAGAUUGAGUCUUUUGUACUUGUAAGGGAAAUGUCCUCCUUUCAGAUAUUGUAAUGGCUCGUGGUGACAUCUUUAGAAUACUUAUUAAGUUCUUAGGGGAAAAACCUUUUAGAGAAGGAAUGUCCUCAUUUCAAGCAUUGCAAUGGCUAUUGGUAGAAUAUUUGUAAAAUCUCGUAAACUCUUUAUAAGGUGUGAGCAAUUGGUGGAUUGUUGGACUGCCUCACUAGUAAAGGUAUGUAUUGAGCAAACCAUUUAGGGUUGCCUUUAUGUCUUGACAAUGGCGUGUCUUGGUCUCUUUAUACUCAUUUUCAUAUUAAUAAAAUAUUUUUCUUUAUUUGUUCCAAUGGUUGCAUGUAUGGCAUUUGGUAUGCCUUAUUAUUUCGAUGUACAUUGGUUUAAUCUAAUUUACGGCUAUUGUUGAUGUUUGUUAAGAUCUAGACAAGUUAUUGGCUGACUCAUGUGGAAGCAUCCACUUAAGCACCACAGGAUUAUCGUAUACUUAAGCGAAGAAGUAUAGUCCAUGACAGUUGGUAUUAGAGCAUGGGUGAGACGUGUUGAGCUAAAGAGUAAACAUGGUGACCACGCGGAGUUUAGUAGAGGACCAUCGAAGGAUUGAUAAGCUAAAGGCUGCGAUGGCUGGAGUAAAAGCUCAUAUGGUCCUGUGUGAGUGAAUAGAUGAAAUUGAGACAGUCCAGCGAGAACUGUCCGAGAUGAUUAAUACCUUGAGUGAUCAGACCAGGGAUGUAUUAAGCAGUCUCCAGGAUAAGAUUGGAGAAUUGAAAGCUCAAGUAAACAUUUUGGUUAUUGCUACUGGUAAUGUUAGUGCAAACUCAAGAAAUCGAAGUAAAAGGUCCAAAGUGCCAAAGCCCAAGCUAUAUGAAGAGGCCAAAUAUGCUAAGGAGUUAGCGAACUUCUUCUUUGAUAUGGAGAUGUAUUUUUGAGUUGUGCACACAGAGUCGGAGGAGGACAAAGAGGUAAUGGCUUUAAUGUAUCUUGUUGGGGACAUGAAGUUAUGGUGGUGUUCGAAAUUCAUUGAUGGUGAAUACCAUAUCAACACUCGGGAAGAUUUCAAGUAAGAACUAAAGAAGUAGUUUUUCCUUGAGAAUGUUGAGCAUAUGACGUGACAAAAGUUAUGGGAGUUGUCAUAAACGGGAUCGAUGCGAAAGUUCGUGAGGAACUUCUUUACUUUAAUGCUAGAUAUUGGGGAUAUAACUGAAAAAGAUAGAUUGUUCUAUUUCCUCGAGGGUCUAAAACCAUGGGUGAGGAUGGAGUUAAAAUGAUAAAAGGUAUAGGAUGUGACUUCGACAAUGGCGGCUACUAAGCGCCUUACUAAUUAUAGUGAAAACUUCAAUAAAAAGAAAAACCCUCCAUCCAAGACAAGUAGCUCUAACUCAAACAGUGGGGCAAAAUUUUAGAAAGUUAGUAGACCCUCGAGUGGGGAAGGCUAUAAGAGACCAUCUACUAGAGACUCAUCUCAAUCAAGAAUAAAUUAGCCAUUCCUUUCCCUACUGCAAGUUGUCCAAUGUUUUUUUUUUAGAACAACUAUGUGUGGUACCAACUAUAAUUUUACCCAAAAGUGGGAAGAUGAUUAUAUCAGUUAUGUAGUUUAAGAAGGGGAUUAAGAAAUGUGAGCACUCUUACAUGGCCAUACCGAUCUACAAAGACGAAGAUAACAUGAAUCCAAUACCUGAAGAAGUGAAACUAUUUUUGGAAUAAUUUCAAGAAAUCAUGCCAGAAAAACUACCUAAGGUCCUACCACCUAGACGAGCUGUCGAUCACGAGAUAGAAUUACUCCCAAAAGUCAAAACGCUUGCAAAAAGGCCAUAUAGGAUAGCUCUCCCAAAAUUAGUAGAGCUAAGGCUGUGCAAACGGGUAGUUCGGUUAGUUCGGUUACUGGAUAUCCAGUAACCGAACUAAUCGAACUCAUCUAUGAAACUAAUCGGAGUAAAAAGCUAACCGAACUAAUCGAAAUCGAACUAACUCGAUUAGUUCGAUUCGGUUACUGAAAACCGAACUUAAUCAUUUUUUUUCUAAUUCUCGUUUGCCUUUUGAAUUUUUAGGCACAUUUUGCAGAGGGAAGUAACUUUGACUUAAAACCAUAGAUAAAAACAAGAUGCCUAGAGAGCAACAAUCACUGUCAAACACUAGAUUUAAAAAUAUCACAACACAACUGGCACAAAACACCCACAUAUGACAAGCAAGUGCCAGCAUCGUAUAUAAACUUCUAAUACAGAGAUAACAAAAUAUUUAUAUAUUAACUUCCAAGGAAUAAAACACAAACAGAAAUGAAAAGGUAAGCAUUCCUAGAAGCUACAGGAAACUGGAUACAGAAAUGAAAAGGUUCCCAUGUUUCUUUUAGUUCUUCUGAAACUUUUACACAUAUGCCUGCAACAGAAUAAGUAAUGUAAAGGGGUCAGCAAACUAGGCAUAAAAUGAAGUAGCCUAGAUUAAAUUAAUAAUAGCAUUCCAAAAAGAAAUUGUCUAUCAACUUUAACCAUUGAGAUGACACAAGACAUUACUAACAAAAAGACAUACUAGCAAAAAUAGACAUUACUAACAUUAGCAUUAGCCACCAGAAGCACUCAUUUCAGAAGUAAGAACCAAUAUAUGCUGCAGCAGCACCCCCAUCUUUUCUUCUGAAUGUUAAAAAAAAUUUAAAUAAAUGAAUGUCACAAUCUUGUCCAAUUAACAAAAGUAUACGAAAAAAAGAAAUCUAAGUGAUAGAGCUUAAGUGAUUAAUUAUUAUUAUCUAUAGUACGUACUAAUUAUUAAUGCACUGUAAUUUUUUUCAGUUCAUUUUACGUAACUGACUUGGGCUUAUUUUUAUGCAGUUUUCAAUUAUGAUCCAUCGAUGCACAAUGCGGCAGUAGUUGACAUCCAAGGCUACAAGAGCUACUUUGCUUCUCCAACCUUUAAGGUUUACAGCAUUGGAAAUGAUGCAAUCAAACUAUCAAAGGGACGAAACUAUUUCAUUUGCAGCAUCCCAGGUCAUUGUGAUAGGGGCUUGAAGAUUGCUAUUGAUGCUUCUUAAGUUAUAAAAUGUGGUUUCAUUACUCAAACCUUAAUCUACUCUCAAAGACGGUUUUCUUGAAUAAAUAGUUUGUGUCAAUUAAUAAGCGGUUGCUUUUGCUUGCUGCCAUGUAAAAUAGUAUUGCAGAAGUAAUUGUAUACAUGCAGAAUUUCCUUAUACUCCUAUAUAUUUCUAAUAGCUUCCUAGGGGAGGAAUUUUGUAGUAAUUUCAUGCAUUAAAUAGGAAGUAUGAGUUAGACCAAGUUAUUUAAUGCACUGCAAAAGGAAAUAUGAAAACUAAACAAAUUAUCAUCAAUAAAGACUAAACUUUUUCAAGAAUCAGAUAAUAUAAAAUUGUUAAUUUGAUAUAUAUUAAAGAGUAUAUUUAUCAAGUAUUAAACAUUAUUUGAUUACUUUGAAGAUUAUCUAGUACAUUGUCCACUGCAAUCUUUGACAACUCUACAAUACACAAACAAGAAAGUAAGAAAUAAAGCAAUUACAUAUUAACAAUUAAAACAACAAAAAUGAAAGGAUGAUAUAAAUAAAAUACUCACCUUCAUCAACUUUCUCAAGCUCUGCCAAAUCAUUCUUAGUGUCAUAAAGAUAAUAAGAAGGUCCACGUAGCCAAUCUUGAGCACAAAUAAGGGCUUGCACCAUCUUAGGUAUUAAAGAACUCCUAUAUGCAUCAAGCACAUGACCAUCGGUGCUAAAACCUGAUUCCGAAGCAACUGUGGAUGGAAGAAUCGCUAAUACAUCACGAGCUAGUAGGGCAAGAGUAGGAUACCUAUGACUAUUGAGUUUCCACCAAAUGAGAACAUCAAAGUCAUCACUAUCAGUUGCAUCAAGCUUAUUUAAACUCAAAUACUUCUCCAUUAUCCUCUUCCCUACCAAUUGCAAUCUUAUAUCUUUUAAAUUCAUUCAGAAGAGCAACACUAGCACUAGAGUCAAUAUCAUUAUCCACUUCAGAAUUUUGGCUCACUUGGGAUUGGCUACUAUCACCAACUUUCUCAAGAGGACGUUGUACAUUUUUUUGGUAUUCAACAAGCAACUCUUCCGUUGUUUUUUUCAAACUCACACAAAUUGAUGAAGCCUGCUCAUUCGAAAACAUUUUCCUCAAACAAAACUCCACAAACACAAGUUUCUUCCUUGGAUCAAGAAUAGAGGCAAUGUAAAGUAGCUUAUUCAUUUUCUCUAUAUUUCCCCAAUACUUAUCAAAUUUCUCUUGCAUUUUCUUUGCCAUUGUUUGCAACUCAACAUCAACAUGUCUUUGUCUAUCUCUCAAAAUGCAAUAAACACCACAAAUAUCAUUAAGAAAAGUAUUAAUAGUGGUAUAAGAAGUACUUGAAACUUUUACUGUGAGUGUGUAAAAAUAUUUUAAAAAAAUAUUCAACCUCCUCACAUUUUCCCAAUCUUCAUGUUUUGGUAUCCCAUCUCCCAUCAACAAAUCAGUUCUAUACUGAGAAUCAGCUUCCUCAAAUAAAGUAAAGGCUUCUUCAAACUUUUGAGCUAUUUCUAACAUCAAGUAAGUGGAGUUCCAUCGAGUACUAUCAUCUAAAGACAACAAAUUUUUUGAUUAAAUAUUUGCAGACUCAACACAUUCUUUGAACUUUGCUAACCUAGCAGGUGACUGUCUCACAUAUCUAACUGCCCCUUUAAUACAAGCAAUUGAAUGAUUCAUUUCCUCCAAUCCAUCAGUGACAAUGAGAUUAAUGAUAUGUGCAAUGCAUCUCAUAUGUAGAAAUUUGUUUUCUAACAAGCCAUUUCCUGUUAAGUUAAAUUUUUUCUUCAAAUAUGCUAUUGCAACAUCAUUGGAACUAGCAUUAUCAACAGUAAUAGUGAAAACCUUACCAAUCCCCCAAUCACGCAAACAUUUAUCAAUUAUUUUCCCAAUGGCUUCACCUUUGUGACUAUAAAUGGGACAAAAGUUUAAAAUUCUUUUGUGUAAUUUCCAAUCAUUGUCUAUAAAGUGAGCCGUAAGACACAAAUAAUUCUCUCUUUGAAUUGAUGUCCAUGUGUUUGUGGUCAGAGAAACUCUACAAGAAGAUGUUCUUAAUAUAUGCUUGAAAUGGUUCUUUCCAUUAACAAAAAGGUUAAAGCAAUUUUUAGCAACAGUCCAUCGUGAUGGCACAAUAAACCUAGGACAUGAAGUUGCUACAAAUUCUUUAAAUCCUUCCCCUUCUACAAAUAUGAAAGGUAACUCAUCUCGAAUGAUCAUCUUAGCUAGAGACUUUCUAAUGGCUUCUUGACUAAAUUUCCAAGUUCCUACUGACCCAUCCCCCGAAUGAAAAGCUAACUUAGUUUGAGCAGAAUCAUUAGUAGAACUAGGAAACUUUUUGCAAGAAUUCAUGUGCUUCUUCAAUGAAGUUGUGCCAUUAUAUUUAGUAUUAGCAGAAAGUACCCUAUCACAAUAAUUACAUCUAGCUUUUUGUUCACCUUGAUCAUUGAAAAAUCUGGUGAAGUGUUUCCAAACUUCUGACCUUGGUGGAAGUGCUUUCCGUUUCUUAGAAUUGACAACAUCACUCUCAUUAGUGGUGAUUAUAGUUUGUUGUGUAGUUGGUGUUGGUAAGGAUUACGACAUGCCAAUAGGAGGAGCAGAUUGUGUAGUAGCAUCACUAGGAGUAGGAGUUGGAUUAUCACUUUCACUUGCCAUUUAAAUCUUCAACCUAUCACUCAAAAAGAAUUAAUUAAUUAGCAAAUAUGUUAUUCAAGAAUGAAAAAUCUAUUAAAGAAUCUAUCACUAAUAGCACAUAUUAAAAAUACAUGAGAAAAUAUAAUCAUUUAAUAUAUGUUCCACUCUUUUGGUUAAUAGAAUUAGAUAGUAUCAAUUUAGAAAGUUGGCAAGAGGAAUCAAUUUCAUAUCCUAAACAUGCUCAACAAGCCAGCUUGAUCUGUCUCAUUAUAUUAUCUACAAAAGCUAGCUCACUCAAAAGAUUGAUCUUAAUUAUCUUUGGAUUAUUCAUAUUCCAUAAUUUCAAGUCACAUUUAUAAAUAAUAAAUUUUUGUACUUACCGAGUCGACAAAUCAAGCUUGAGAGGCUGUUCUGGUUUCACAACAUUUCCUAAAAUUGUAUGAGUGAGAUUAAAUUACCAAUGAUUGCUCUCAAAUUUCAUGCAGUAGUAUAAAACUAUAAAAGGAAAAAUCAAUUUCAUCUCGUUUAAUUUUAAUUGGAAAAGUCAUAUGGUUCCACACAAAAGAGUAAAGAAGAUUCUGUCAAAAGCUCAUGUAUAUCAGGCAAUGAACCAAUAAAACUAUUUAAAUGUUUAGUUACCAUUAGCUGUGUUUAAAUAUUUAAAUAUUUACAUUGGUUGUGUUUUAGUGUUGGUUGUUUUGGGGGCUUCUUUGGUUAAGAAUGGGGCUGUUUCUUUUGUUUUUAAAGACAACCAUGCAAAAUUAGGGAAAGCAUUUUGGGUUAGAAAAAGAUGUGCUUGAUGAAAUCUUGAGUCUCUGUUUUCCUUUGUACAGCACAGGCCUUUAGGGAAAGGCUAGAGAGCUUUCUUUUGUCUGUUAAGCUCAUAUUAGGGAAGGAAAUUGCCACUAAACUUAGUUAAGUAGUUUCCUACUGCAAUUGUAUUUACUCUACUUUUUGCACAAAUCAGACGUUUUAUGCCAACUUAAGUUUAAGAUUUUAAAUGUUAUGGUGGUUGGUUACUCAUGUAGGAAAUUUCAUAAAACAUUUAAAUAUUUUUUUUUUGGAUAAGCAGGUAACUAAACAUUUUCUAAUACAAUAGCUAGCUUAAAUUCAAUGAAUAAUAUUUGUAUAAACCCAAAAAAAACUUACCAAUAACUUGAUGUGGGAAGGCCCAAUAAGCUGAAGCAAGAAUGGCAGUGAUCGGCAGCGGCAGAAGUAGAAACCAGAAACAGUGAGAUCGUGAUAGUGGAGAUGGCAGUGACUGGCAAUCGAUAGAAGUUGAAAGUAGAAAGGGUGAGACCGUGAGACGAUGAGAGUGGAGAUGGAAGACUAAAAGUGCUUGGAAAGGCAGUGAUCGAUCGACAGUCGGCAGAAGCAAAAAUCAAAAAGGGUGAGACCGUGAGACGAUGAAAGUGGAGAUGGAAGACUAAAAGUGCUUGGAAGGGCAAUGAUCAAUAGGUAUUCGGCAAAAGCAAAAAUCAAAAAGGGUGAAACGGUGAGAAUGGAGAUGGAAGGCAAGGGAUGGCAGUAGUGACGGGCAGUAACAGUAGGCAGAAACUAAGGGCCAAAAGAAUUAGGUAUUUAGGUUUAGUAAUUUUUAAGGGAAAAUUUCCAAACUACCCUUUUUAGGUUCGGUUAGUUCGGUUAGCAAUUUCUCUAACCGAAAUCGAACCAAAAUAAUUUCAUUAACCGAAUUAACCGAACCGAACUAAUCGAACUCUGAACUAACCGAACUAAACUAACUGAACUUAGUUUAAUUCAGUUCGAUUAUUCGAUUCGGUUCAGUUUUGCUCACCUCUAAGCAGAGCUAAGAAAAUAAUUACACGAGCUAAUUCAAGCUAGAUUUAUCUGACCAUCUAAAGCACCUUUUCGGGCCCUAGUACUCUUUCCAAAGAAGCAGGAUGAAAGUUUACGAUUGUGCAUGGAUUACUAGGCCUUGAACAAAGUCAUAGUUAAGAAUAAAUAUCCUAUCCCUCUUAUAGCAAAUCUCUUCGAUUAGUUAAGUUGUGCAAAGUACUUCUCCAAAUCAGAUUUGAGAUCGAGAUACCAUCAAGUAAGAGUGGCUGAGGGAGAUGAAUCAAAAACCACCUACGUAACGUGGUAUGGCGCAUUUGAAUUUCUUGUUAUGCCUUUUGGACAACCAAUGCUCUUGCUACCUUUUGCAUAUUGAUUAAUCAAGAGUUCCAUGAUUAUCUGGACAAGUUUGUGGUAAUCUACUUGGAAUAUAUCGUGGUGUACAAUUCAACCUUAGAGGAACAUCAACGGCACUUACGGUAAGUCUUUCAAAGGCUAUGCAACAACCAGUUCUAUGUGAAAAGGGAGAAAUGUGCAUUCGUGCAAACCUGAAUUUAGUUCCUUUGCCACAUAAUUAAACAAAGGCACAUUUAGAUGGAUGUGUAGAAGGUGAAAGCUAUCAAAGAAUGGGCAACCUCUAAGGAUACAACUAAGCUUCAUUCGUUCUUAGGGCUAGCAAAUUAUUAUCGGAGAUUUAUGGAAGGAUAUUCAAGAAGGAUAGUAGCACUGACAAAAUUGUUGAAAAAUGAACAAAAGUGGAGUUAGACACCACAGUGCAAAGUUGACUUCGAAGGCUUGAAAAUCGUGAUGAUGACGGAUCCCAUUUUAUCACUCUUUGAUAUUGCAAGACCUUUCGAUUUACAGAUGAAUGCAUAAGACUUUACCUUUGAAGGAGUGUUGUUACAAGAAGGACAUCUGAUUGGGUUCAAAAGUCAAAAGUUAAAUGAAGUUGAGAGAAGAUACAUAGUACAAAAAAAGAACUACUAACAGUGAUUCAUUAUUUACAAGCUUGGCGACACUACUUACUAGGAUCACAAUUCAUGGUUAAGACUAACAACACAGUCGUAAGUCACUUUCUCACACAGCCAAAACUUACAGCGAAGCAAACGAGAUGGGAAAAGUUCCUAACCGAGUUUGAUUUCUCUUUCGAGCAUAAAGCUAGAAAGGUGAACAGUGUGGUAGACGCCCUCAGUAGAAAAGUUGAAUUCACAGCUCCAAGAGUGAUCGCACCAAUGAUAGCCAACAAAGUGACUAUAGAUAUUCGUAAUCUUAUUGAGGAAAACUUGCAUCGAGAUCCCCAAGCAAUGGUCAUUAUGAAGUUGCUGGAGAGUGGAAAAUUGACAUACUUUUGAGUGAAAAAUGGACUCCUACUAAUAAAAGGACCACACAUAUUUGUUCCAAGAGCAGGAGAGCUUAUGCAGAAAUGUCAUGAUACUCAUUGACUACAACAUCCAAGUUGGCAGUAGACCAUUACAUUACUGAAACAAGGUUACUAUUGGCUUCUUAUAUGGCAAGAUGUGAUGGAUUAUAUGAAGACGUGUCUCAUUUGCCAACAAGACAAAGUAGACAGACAAAAAUCGAUGGGAAUGCUCGAACCUCUAUUAGUGUUGACCAAAUUGUGAGAAAGUAUUUCUUUAGACUUUAUUGUAAGACUUCCUAAAGAUAUGAUAGUGCUCUUGGUAGUGGUGGACUAUUUCUCUAAGUACGUGACGUUUAUUCUUGUGUAUAAGUUUGGCUCAGCGGAAGAAACGGCUCAUACGAUUUUUAAACAUGUGGUAAAAUAUUAAGGUGUUCCUAAGAGCAUUAUCAACGACAGAAAUCCGAGGUUUACAAGCUUUUUUUGGAAAGAGCUUUUCAAGCUAUUGGGGUCAGAACUGAACAUACCUUCCAAUUAUCUCCCGAAAAUAAAUGGUCAGAUAGAAUACUUUAAUGGGUUAUUAGAAGAAUACUUGUGACACUUUGUAUAGGCAAAUCAGAAGAAUUGACCCAACUUAUUAGAUGUGGCUCAACUAUGUUUCAAUUCACAGAAGAGCUCAGCCACUAAUAGAACCCCUUUCAAGGUUGUCACCAAGCAACAACCUAGACUUCCCCAUACCUCAGUGGAAUCAUAUAACGGGAAGAGUCCCCAAGCAUUCAACUUUACUAAAGAGUGGAGAUGAAACAUCGAAAUCGUUAGAGCCUAUUUAGAGAAAACCUUAAGUCACAUGAAGAAAUGGGAAGAUAAAGGUUGAAGGAAGCAACACAUUAAGGUGAGAGACUUAAUGUUGGUGAAAUUGGUACCCCGAACAACUUUGAUUCCUAAGAAAGAGGGAUCGAAGACUAGUAUGAAAGUAUAAAGGUCCAAUAUCAGUUAUAACCAAGAUAGGAAAGACUUCCUAUAGGAUUGAUCUACUAAAGUGGAUAAAGGUAUGCCUCGUGUUUCAUGUCAACAACCUGAAACUAUUCCAUGCAAAUCUAGUAGAUGCAAGCAAGAGUCGACCCACAAGAGUUGCCAUCAGCAUUAUGCCACGAUCAUAACGUCGAGUGGAGGAGAUUUUAGCAAGAAGGAUGAUGAUAAUCAACUGACGACCGAUUAGAUCACUAGAGAGAAGAAAAACAAUCUUCGUGCCUUUCAAUAGAAGAUUGAAGAAUUCUAAGCCAACCAGUCAACGAGGAUAACAACAAAUUGAGUGGGGGAGGAUGUCAUGAGCUAACCUUGUAUCGGACUAUGACAGGGUAGGGUUGUUUAAGAGAUUGAGUCUUUUGUACUUGUAAGGAAAAUGUCACCCUUUCAAACAUUGUAAUGGCUCAUGGUGACAUCUCUAAAAAUACUUGUUAAGUCUUUAGAAGGAAAAACCCUUUAGGAAUGGAAUGUUCUUAUUUUAAGCAUUGUAAUGGCUAUUGGUAGAACACUUUUAAAUCUUAUAAAUUCUUCACAAGGGGUGAGCAGUCGACUGAUUGUUAGACUGCCUUACUAGUAAAGGUAUGUAUGUAGUGAACCAUCUAGGGUGUCUCGACAAUGGUGUGUCUUGGUCCUUUUAUACUCAUUCUCAUAUUAGUAAAACAUUUUUCUUUAUAUGGCUCUAGUGGUUGCAUGUGUGGCAUUCGAUAUGCCCUAUUAUUUUGAUGUACAUUGCUCUAAUCUAAUUUAUGGCUAUUGUUGAUGUUUGUUCAGAUCUAGACGAGUUAUUGGUUGACUCGUGUGGAAGCGUCCACUUAAGCGUCGCAGAACUAUCACAUACUUAAUCGAAGGAGCAUAGUUCGUGACACCUUGCCUCAUUUUUCUUUCUUUUCUCAACUACAGACCGUCACUUUUCAUAGCAGAACCUCACCAUCGUUCAAACCACUACAGAGCCUCCGUAUCUUUACUGUGUAUCACUCACUCUUUCACCUUUACUUACAGUUCAUCGUCGCCGCAACCAUUGCACCUUAGAUCAAUCCUAAACCCUCUCAGUCUAUGCAAAAAUCAACUCUUAAACACUUUGAACUCCUAAACAACCAUUCUACCUUUACUCAUUCUUUUACCUCUUCCCACUCUCGAGCCUAAAUCGUCGGCUAAGGUUUCUUACUCGAGAACUAAAUAAACACGAUAUCUAUUGUUUAGGGUUUUCAUCACUCUCUUUUUCUUAUUGGUCCUUCAUAUACAAUUUUUUAUUCCGUUUGUAUAGCUAGCUACCUUUUCGGUUCUUUUUCUUAUUUUUUGAGUUCCCUUUUAAUCAUAUUUGUAUUUGAUUUUUGAUCUAUUUUUGCUAGGAGUGUGCAAUGGUCAGUUACAACUAGGCAAUUGACCAUAACCGUUGGUUGUUGUUGUAACCGUCGGUUAUGUUAAUUUGCUCGAUUGUCGGGGGGGACUCCCUCCCUUCUGAAUCAACCAAUUAAUCGAGGAUUCUUUCUUUUUUUUUUAAAGGGGAAAAGACACCCUUACCCUUCAUUAAACCCCCUCAACACAUCUACUAUUCUUUCCCUCAUGACCCCUUCUAAUUUUCACUUUGUUCUCUACCUCUCCCUUUCAUUCUAAACCCUAAACCAGUAGCCAAGUCACUUGGCUCUCUUCUAUUCUCCAACGAUGCUUCAUUAUCAUUCCAAAUUGCUGCCAACCACCUAUUUUAGCAAGGUAAACCAUAAAUUUUUUUUUGUUAUUGAUUUUGUGAAAAUAGCAAGAGAAAGAAAGCUUGAGAGAUUAUAAAUAUUUUUUUUUGGUUAAAAUUCAUGCUAGAGAGAAAAUAUGUUAGAGAUUAUGAAUAUGAUAUGUUGUUUUUUGCUUAAAAAAAUAAAUUAGUGCAAAUAAAAACAAUUCCAAGGGAUUAGAAAAAUGAUAGGCUUGAUUUUUUAAUUUUUGGGAAUUAAAUUUUUUUCUCAACUAUAGAUUAUUUCAACCUUAGUUGACAUUAAACAUUUCAAAGAGUUUUAUGUUUAGAAUUAUUGUUUGGAUAAUUACUUAAAAUGAUUUGAUGCUAGAAUUAAACAGUAAGAAUUAUGUUUGAGAAUUAAUGUUUAGAAUUAUUGUUUGGGUUUUUAAUUAAAAUGAUUGGUAAUAUGCUAGAAUUAAACAUUAAGAAUUAUGUUUGGGAAUUAAUGUUUAGAAUUACCGUUUGGAUAAUUAAUUAAAAUGAUUGGUAAUAUGCUCGAAUUAAAUAUUAAAAAUUAUGUUUGGGAAUUAAUAUUUAGAAUUAUUGUUUGGAUGUUAGAAUUAAACAUCAAGAAUUAGUUUGGGAAUUAAUGUUUAGAAUUAUUGUUUGGAUGUUAGAAUUAAACAUUAAGAAUUACGUUUGGGAAUUAAUGUUUAGAAUUAUUGUUUGGAUUUUUAAUUAAAAUGAUUGGCAAUAUGCUAGAAUUAAAUAGUAAAAAUUAUGUUUGGGAAUUAAUGCUUAAAAUUAUUGUUUGGAUUUUCAAUUAAAAUUAUUGACAAUGCUAGAAUUAAACAUUAAAAAUUAUGUUUGGGAAUUAAUGUUUAAAAUUAUUAUUUGAACUUUUAAUUUGGCAAUAUGCUAAAAUUAAACAUUGGAAUUAAUAUUUGGGUAUUACCUUUUAUUUUGUAGAUGUCAACUAAUGAGGAAACAAAUUUCACAACUAAUGAGACACCAACACCAACACCAUCAACAUCUACACCUCAUGUUAUUGGUAGUUCUACCAAAGUCAACAAAACAAUUGUAAGCAAAGUGCGGAAGCAAAGGGAGCCAUCUCAAUCUACAUCGAUUAUGGGAGAUCACUUCACCAAAUUUGUUGAUAAGCGGGGUAAUAAGAAGGCUAAAUGUGCUUAUUGUGGUAAAGAAUUGUGUGUUAGUACAAAAAAGAAUGGAACUUCUUCUUUGAACAAUCAUAUUAAAGUUUGUCCUAAGUUGAAACUGGUGUGUGAUAAUGAGGAGAACAAACAAAUGGAAUUAGUUUUUGCUUCAAGAAAGGAUGGGUUGGGUAGUUGAAAGUUUGAUCAAUAGGCAAUUAGGAAGAGACUAGCUGAAAUGAUCAUUUUAGAUGAAUUGCCUUUGAAGUUUAUGGAAAAUCCAGGAUAUAGGAAACACAUAAACAAAGUAUGUCCUAGAUUUUGUGUACCGUUACGAUGAACUGUUGCUAAGGAUUGUUAUAAGGUUUAUACUGAUAAACAAACUCGAAUGAAAAUAUUGUUAAAAUCAUGUUCUGGUAGAAUGUGUCUCACCACUGACACAUGGACUUUGAUACAAAUAAUUAAUUUUAUUUGUCUAACUGUCCAUUUUAUUGAUAAUGAUUGGAAGUUGCAAAAAAGAAAUUUGAAUUUUUGUUCAAUCACUAGUCACAAAGGUGAGGCCAUUGGUAAGGCAAUUAGUAAAUGUUUCUUUGAUUGGGGGAUCUAAAAGAUUUUUUCUAUCACUGUUAAUAAUGCUAGUUUAAAUGAUGUUCCAAUAGAACAUUUGAAGAAAAAAUUUAAUGUUGCUAGAACUAGUAUUUUAGGAGGCAGAUUUUUUCGUGUGAGAUGCAUUGCUCAUAUUGUUAAUCUUGUGGUUUCUGAUGGAUUGAAGGAAAUCAAUACUUCAAUUAUUUGUGUUAGAGGGGCAAUGAGAUAUGUUAGACAAUCCCAUACUAGAUUAGCUAAGUUUAAGGAGUGUGCUGCUAGUGUAGGAGUUGAGAGCAAGUGUUUAUUGUGUUUGGAUGUGAGCACUAGAUAAAAUUCUACUUUUUUUAUGUUGGAUACAGCUUUGAAAUUUUAGAAGGCUUUUGCAUCAUUUGAAUUAUGUGAUAAUAGCUACAUACUUGAGCUAAAAAGGUUGGGAGAUGGGGUGCCUGAUGACAGAGAUUAGGCAAAUGUGAGGAGGAUUUCUCGUUUCUUAAGAGGAUUUUAUGAUUUGACGUUUAGUGUUUCAAGCACAUCUUACAUAACUUCUAAUUCUUUUUUGGAUUCCAUUUCUGAUGUGUAUACCACUUUGAUUGAAUGGCAAAAUGAUGAUGAUAAUGUUGAUUUACAGUCUAUGGCAAUUAAGAUGAAAGAGAAAUUGACAAGUAUUGGGGGAAUGUGGACAAAAUGAAUUUGGUGUUAUUCAUUGCUAUUAUACUAAGCUUUCUUAUGUUGAAUUCACUUUGCUAGACAUGUAUCCUCUUACUCAAGCUUCAAUGAUGUUUUCUUUGGUGACACAAACAAUGGAUGAGUUGUUUCGUUGUUAUAGAAAUAUGUUACAACUUACUGCUCGUGAUGUUAGUGAAAGUGGUCAAGAGUGUCCAACUUCCAUGGGUUAAGGCACUAGUGGUGGUUGUAGUGAUAGUGUUGCUUUGACUUUGAUUGGUAAGGACACAAAACGUACUAAAAAAAGAUUGGAUAGGUUCAAGAAGCAUCGGUUAAACAUUGGGUCAAAAGAGGUGAAAACAGAAUUGGAGAAAUAUUUAUCUGAACUUGUAAAUGAUAGAGGUUUCUAUAAUGAUGAGUUUGAUGUUCUUAUGUGGUAGAAAACUUAAUCAAUUUAGAUUUCUUUUAUUUGUCGUUAAUCGUGAUGUUUUGGCUGUUUUCGUAUCAACAGUUGCUUUGGAAUCCACUUUUAGUACCGGUGGAUGUGUGCUUGAUGUAUAUAUGAGUUCUUUGACUCAUAAGGUCAUAUAAGCACGUAUUUGUGCUCAAGAUUAGUUACAUGGAUUGGCACGUGGUAAUUCGGAUUUGAUUGAAGAUGAUUUGGACGAGCUCGAUAAGCUUGAUUUUGAUAAUUAUUUUGUAAUUUUAUUUAUAAUUUAAUUUAUUAGAUUUGUUAAAGAUCAAUUUACCAUAUUUGUUAUUUUAUUUUUUAGAUUUGACUAAUAUUGUGUUGGAGAUAAUAGCUGAAUCUGAGCCUGAUUUUAGAUUUGACUAAUAUUGUGUUGGAGAUAAUAGCUGAAUCUGAGCCUGAGUUGGACUAACAUGUUAUUUCUAUUGGCCAUUAGCACUUUUCAGGUAAUGUUAUCAUUAAGUAUUAUGCAAUAUUUAUAUUACAUUUAUAAUUUAUUUAGGUUAUCUUACCACAAAAAUUUACACUAAUUAUAUAUUUUCUUUUAACCUUUUUAGGAGUAUGCUUUGCAAAAUUGUUGAAUUGAAGUUGAAGCCUUGGAGAUCCAUUUUUUGAAAUUUAGUAAUUUAUAUUAUGAAACUUUGAGUUGUUGAACCCUUAUUUAUUUAUUUAUUAUAUGAAGAUUAAUGUUAAUUUCUUUUAUGACCAUAUAUUUAAUUAUAGAACUUUUGAAACUAAUGUUUAUUUAUUAUAUAAAGAUUAAUAUUUAUUUAUUGUAUGAAGAUUAAUAUUAUUAAUUAUUUAAAAAAUAAAUAAAUAGAUGAAAAAAUUAUAUAUAAAUAAAUAGAUCCAAAAUAAUAAUUUAUAAGAAGUUACAUAAAAAAGCCCAAGUCAAACAAAAAAGGAAUCAUUUUGAACAAAAAGAAGCCCAACUUAAUCUCAAAUAGCCCAAGUCAACCCACUAUAAAAAUCGACUUGAAAUCGAUUGAACCAAAAUCAGUUAACACUGACCUCUAACAUGACUCUAUUUGAUUGGUUGGAAAAGGUUAUUUUUUUUUGUCAAUUUUAAGAAAAAUCGAACCAAAACCAUACUUAACCGACCUUUACUUUCCUCUAAUUUUUGUCUUAAUUAAUUGCAAGAAAUCUGUUUAAUCAACAUGGCUAAGUCUUGGGCUUGAAUUCUAAACUCACCAGACUCUUGAAACGAAAACCCUAACAAGACCCAAAAACCAUUUAAACCCCUUUCGAAUCUGGGCUUCAUAUUCAUAAAAAAUAAAUAAAAAUAAAAUGAAAUAAAAGUGAAAGUAAAUAAAAAUAAAAAAUAACAAUUUGAUUAAUUAAUUAAAUAGAUGACAAUAAUAAGAAACUGUUAUCUAUAAUAGCUCAUUGAGGGACAGGUAAUUUUUUUAUCCUGACUAAGUGGGUUCAGAACUACUACAUGUAGAUGAUGGAAUAUUGCUACGGACUCGAGUCAAUGCAAAAGACUUUUAUAUUUUGAAAUUUUUUAAAAAUAAAUAAUAUGGUUAAUCUAUCAAUAGUGAACUGUAUAAUUUGAAAAAAAUUAAUAUUAUUAGAUGAAUUUUUUGAGGUAACUGCCACGGUAAUGAUGAUGAUUUCUUUUUUUUUUUUUUUCUUUUAUUGACAAUUGAAAGCUCCCAUGGCCAGCCUUUUAGCCUACACGUGACAUGGCAAAAUGAGGGAACCUCUCUUAGGUAAGUUAUGGAAGAUUCUUGAGUGAGAAAGUCAGAAUAUUCUUUAUUAAUUAUUACUAAUAUUAUUUAGAAAGGUUUUAAUAGAGAUUUAGGGUUUCUAAAAUUAUUAUUUUUUAUCUUUUUAUUUGAAAAAGAAAAUGUAAAAAAAAUUAAAGAGCCCUUUUCUGUUUCAAGCUCUUCUAGCCAUGGCGUGAGUCUUGCCCCCCCCUUUUCUUUCAUUGUCCCUCUUUUCGAAAACACAGCUGGGAAAAUUAAAAUGUUUCAAAAAGAAACAAAACACUAUACGUAAAUUCUGCCUUACUUUUUUCUUGUACCUUUUCACUAAUCUGGAUUUUAAAGUGUUUCCUUUGACAAAAUUGCGUGUACAUUGUUUAGUUAUACUUACGGUUGGUGAAAUUUCUUGUGCAGAUUGUGUUGAGAAGGUUAAAUCCCGAAGAAAUUGAGUCUCCUUAAGCAUCGGAUAUGGUGAGUUUCGGCUUUUGAACUCCCAAGAGUUUUUUUUUUCUCCUUCAAAUUCUUAAACAUGAACUAUGGAUAAUUAGGGUAUAAGGUUUUUUUUUUUAAUCUGCUUUGUUAUUUAGAAAAUAAAAACUUCUUUUUUUUCUUUUUUGAUAAAAGGGGGAAAGGAGCCUUUUUAAACCUACAUUUUCACUAGAAAACUGGGAGUUUUUUUUUUUUCAUUUUUUUGAUCUUCUGCAACAAUUAAGUAGGGAAUUACGGUUCAUAUAUGAAAUGUGAUCUUUAAUUAUGUGCAUGCUUUUCUGUUUAUUUUAUUUUGGAUACAAUGGGCCUUGGUUUGGUGUUGAUUGCAGUCGGAUAUUAGGAAAUGGUUUAUGAAAGCGCAUGAUAAAGGCAAAGGCAAUGCCUCAAAGCCGGCAAACCCGGCACCAACCAAUACAGAUUCUGUGAGUAUAUCUUUUGCCAUUUCAUAUGUAUAUUUCUUCCUGUGUAAGAUUUCAGCACGGUUCUUUUGCUUAGGUUUUUGGCAAUAAUAUUGAAAAUUGAAUGAUAUCCAUGUAUUGCCAUCUGAAGAUUCUAUUUAGGUUGUUUCAUGAUUCUGUGAAGAAUUGCUGUGACUUGUUGUUUGGUUGCUGAGAGUACACUGAAAGGAAAAGGAAUAUCAUAUGACUGUAUUUUUGUUUUAUAAGGUCCAGUUGUGUACUUAGUUUCUUUAGUUUCUUUCCUGAAUGAGAAAAACUUUACAACCAAUUUUAAUAUACCGAGUUUAAAGAAAAGCAAGACAAAUAAAAAAGAGUUUAAAAUGAUAGCCUUUUAUGUUUUCCCUGGCUUUUUUAGCAACCAACCAACAAUAAAGUAACUGAGAUUUUGUUUUACUGUUUUAAAAUGAAAAUAAGCAUUUUUGUCACCAACAUGGGGAUGCUAUAUGUCACUUGAAAAGCUUUGAAUCAAGGAGUAAGUGAAGGGAGGGGUUUGCAUGAGUAAUUGAAGGCCCCUAUAGGGCCAAAUGCUAAUGUGUGGCUCAAUCUAUACAUAAUUGGCUGGAAGCAUAUGUUAAUUUUAGUACCUAGAGGAAAAUGACAAUGAAGAAAGCAUGAAUGGGCAGAUAUGAAUCUCCCUCUUUCCUCGUUCUUGGCCAAAAUUAUUCUUAAAAUGUUGGUCUAACUUAUGCUUAAAUGUUUCUUUCUCUAUCUGAUUUUUGUCAUUUGAAAUUUAUCAAGGUACCUGGAGGCCGAGAAAAUUCUGGCAGAAGGAAAACUAGCAAGUAUUUUCCUGCAGGAAAACAACAGCCAAAGGGUGAACAAGGAACGGAGGAACUUCCAGCCAAGAGAAAAGUUCAAAAUGAAAAUGAAAGUGUUGAAAAACCCCCACCUUCGAAGAAACCAAGCAAAGUUGGUAUUGAUGAUGACUUUGUUUUGCCCAAAUCAAGGAAUACUGUUGAUGUCACUCCCAGUAAGAAACGGAAGAGUGGUUCAGGAAGGGGUGUUGCACAAAAAGCUGAAGAUAAUGAUGAAAGUGAUGAAGAUGAUGCUAAGGACUUGGAGUCUCCUGUAAAGUCUGGUGGAAGGGGGGGUCGUGGUGGCACGGGUGCAUCAGUGGCACCAGCUAGUGGAAGGGGCAGAGGCCGUGGACGAGGUGGAUUUAUGAAUUUUGGAGAAAGGAAAGAUCCUCCUCAUAAAGGAGAGAAGGUGGAGCUAUAUUAGAAAUGUCUGAUUUAAUCAUAAUUGGAUCAGCAUGAAUAUUGGUUAACAAUGAAUUUCUGUUAUGUCAGGAAGUCCCUGAAGGUGCUCCUGAUUGCUUAGCUGGUCUAACUUUUGUAAUUAGUGGAACGCUUGACAGGUAUUUUAUUUGUUACUGAUAUUGACAUUCAAGUACUUAUUCCUCUUGCUCUCAUGUGUAAAACUAUUCUUGAUGCAUUUCUUCUCAGCAACAUGGAGCAAUAGACCAUAUUUUUCUACAAAGGGUUUUACUUACAAUUACAUUUUUUUUAAAUCUUUAUUUAUGGAUGAUUUUCCUUGAUGGAUCGGGCCUUCAUGGCAUCAUAAUCAUUGAACUUUUCCCUUACAGUUUAGAAAGAGAGGAAGCAGAGGACUUGAUCAAACGCCAUGGUGGUCGUAUUACUACAGCCGUCAGCAAAAAAACGGUUAUUCUAUUCUUAUACCUGAAGAUCUCUUCACUUCCGGUCCCAAUUUUGACAAGUGAUUAACAUUGUCCAUCUGCAGAAUUAUCUUUUAUGUGAUGAAGAUAUUGAGGGUCGAAAGUCCUCUAAAGCCAAAGAGCUUGGGUUUGUUGUCCCUCUUAUUGGAAAAUUUUAGUUUGAAUUCCUUAUUGCCCUGUUUCUUUUGUUUAAUCUUGGUUUUUAUUUCUUAUUGUAGCAUUCCUUUUCUCACUGAGGAUGGAUUGUUUGACAUGAUCCGUGCUUCAAAUUGCGGAAAAGCUCAUUCAAAAGAAGAGUCAAAAAAAUCUGCAGAAAGCUUUGCUGCAUCUCUACCUAAGAAGAGCCCCCAGAAAAUGGAAGUGAAGAGUAUGGCCCAAAUAAUGAUGCACUUUAGCUUCUGCUGCAUUUUUUUAGUGGUUGACCACAUAAUAGUAUAUAUAGUUGUUAUGACAUGACCUUUACUUACAAGUAGCAAGAUGGUGAAAUUUUGACUACUUACUUGCCAAAGGAUUUUAUUCUUGCCACUGGAUUUUGUUCUUGCCAUUCUUGUUUGUGUAAACUUUCAAUGAAGGUUGAUGAAAUGCCACUGUUAACUACUAUUUUACAAUGUGUAUAAUACAUUCUAGAGGUUAUGACUGGGUUUAUGGUGGUGCCAAACCUGGAGUUUGGUGUUAUUAUUAUAGGUUUUCCUUUUUUGUGUCCAUCCAUUUGUUUGCUGAUGGGGCUCAGCCAUGAUACCAAAGAAUCCUAUCUUUUUGUUUCAGCUCUUAUCCUUAAACUUAAUCUUGUUUAGAUGAUAUUCUCAUUUAUUUUGGUACUCUUUUAUAUGUCUGUACUUUUGCUGUAUAAUGGAUUCUGGAAUGUAGGCCUUAUUGCUUUUCAUACUUACUAUCUCAUAGUUCUUAGCUGAAUAAGUUCUUUCAUGGUUGACACAGGAAAACUGAAACAUGCCAAAAAUUUUGUAGAUCCAGCUUUCCAACUAGAAUAGAAGUAUAUGACUAUAUGAAACUAUAAGUUUGUAAGCUAGUUUUUUCUAUUUUAUUGUGAUUGUGGAGCUCUCUGAGAGGUCAGUUCUCCUUGUUUUCAAUGAUGAAGAACCCACUGAUACCCAUGUUUGUUAUGUUCCUGAUAUCAUUGCGAUUUCUAGUUUAACUAUUUAGAGUUACUAUUCAUACUAAUAAUAAAAGCCCUUUUCUGUUGAUAUGCAGUUUCCUUUUUUCACAUCUUUUUGAAAAAUGUUCAUGUUCUGACCAACAAUGCUUUGAACUGCUUGUGUAAUUUUACCUCUAUUAUUAUUAUUAUUAUCAUGCACAUGGAGCACACUGUUAUUUGCUGUUGCUACUUUUAGCAUAAUAAAUCUGCAGUUCAUAGCUUUGGAUAGAAAGGAAUCUUUAUAAUUGUAGUCCUUGAAUAUCCAAUGCAUUUAGUGAGUUCUUUUACUUGUAUCAAUAAUUCUUCUCCUUUUCCUUUGCUUGCCCGUUCUUAAAUGGUAGCCUUUUCUCUACUAUGGUCAUGCCAUCACUUUCUACUCUCCUGGUGUCCAAACUUGAUGGCUGAUCUAUCUAUUGUUUUCCACCUCUUGUAUCUUUUUUGUCUCUCAAACUGGAUAUGAAUCUUUGGCCACUUCUGUAUAUAGCUAGAUUUAUAUUCCAUUAUUCCAUGCUACUAAUAUAUUGCUGAAGAUUGUCAUCUUAUGUAACUUUCUGUGAAUUGUGCAUGUAGUUUCAUUUUUUAAUGAACUUUGAUUGCCAUUAUUUUUAGUUUAAACCAUUGUCUUUAACUAAUGCUGCUUCUUGCAUAGGCAACUCUUCAUCAGCAAAGAUAUCUGGUAAAAGUUUGACUACAAGUGUCUCAUCCACGAAGCAGAGAGGGCAACCAAUCCAGCAUUCAUCUCUGACAUGGACUGAAAAAUAUAGGCCAAAAGUUCCAAAUGAAAUGACUGGGAAUCAAUCAUUGGUAUUAGUUUCUACUCUGUCAUCCUUUAUCAGGAUAUGUUUUAACAUUAAUUUCUGUUUUCAGAAGGCUAGUGGUCAUCUUGCUCACUUUUCAUAAAAAACCACUGAUGUGGCACCUCAAAUUGGCCAUUGAUAUGGGUUAUUGACCUCCAAAUAUGAGGAAAAAUUUGGAGAAAAAAUUGUAUGCAUCCAUGUUGGAAUCAAAACCAUGUCCAAAAGUCCCGAGUCUGAGCAACAUAUGCUGGAAGCAUACUCAUUAUAAUCUCUUUUUGUCAUGGCUGCAGGUUAACCAACUUCACAAUUGGUUGGCACAUUGGAAUGAGCAAUUUCUUGGAACUGGAAGUAAGGGAAAGGGCAAAAAGCAAAAUGAUCCUGGUGCCAAAAAAGCUGUCCUAUUGAGUGGAACACCUGGCAUUGGGAAAACUACAUCAGCAAAGUUGGUUAGUCAGAUGCUAGGUUUCCAGACCAUUGAGGUGGAGUUUAUUUUACCAAAAUCAAUCUUGAUUAUUAGUUUAAGUUCAGAUUACAUUGCCCAAAACUAAAGUCUGCUGAUGUGUAUCCUGUAUGUGUCAUAUAGGUAAAUGCUAGUGAUAGUCGUGGGAAGGCUGAUGCCAAAAUUUCUAAAGGAAUUGGUGGAAGCAAUGCAAAUUCAAUAAAGGAACUUGUUAGCAAUGAAGCCUUGAGUGUUAACAUGGAUCGGUUUGUUUUCUGUUCUUAUGGAAUCUUUGUGUCAUUACAUAGGAAAUUUAUAAACCUUUUUCAAAUAUUUUCUCAGACAAGUUAAUUUUUUAAUGGAAAUUGCAGUUCAAAACAUGUAAAGACUGUCCUGAUCAUGGAUGAGGUGGAUGGCAUGUCUGCUGGUGAUAGAGGUGGAAUAGCUGAUCUUAUUGCCAGCAUAAAAAUUUCCAAAAUCCCAAUCAUUUGCAUCUGUAAUGACCGAUACAGUCAGAAACUGAAGAGUCUUGUGAACUAUUGCUUGCUUCUCAGUUUCCGUAAACCCACAAAACAACAGGUACAGUUUAUUAAACUUUUAUUUUUUCCUUUUGGAUAUUUUUUAUAGAUUUUUUUUUAUUAAAUUUCUGCCUAUCUUGCAGUUACUCAGAUCUAUGUGCUUACUAUCAUGUGGCUUCCAUCAUCCAAUUUUUUGUACCUGCUAUUGUCUUGGCUUUUAUCUUAUGCAGUAAGAUGUAGACAAAUUAUAUGAAGGGCUUUCAUAUCUGUAUUUUUGCUGCUGAUCCUCGAACAAAUCAUGAUACAACAACAACAACAAGCAGCAACAAGAAAACCUUUAUCUACUGCAUGGGAUUAAUCACAAGCCUUUUUUACAGAUCAAGAUACUUAAGUAAAACUUUUAAAAGUUUGAGAUGGUUUCUUGCUUGCCCUUUCAGAGUUUUUCCCCUGAUGUAAUGAGCUGAUUCAGUACCACAUUUUAGGGCCAGUAUGUGGCCUUUUUGUUUACUAAAACCAGUACACUUAAGCCUAUUUUUUAUAUUGUUCACAGCAUCAGGCCAGUACACUCAGAGUUCAGCCGUACUGGCAUGUUUUGGCCACAAUAGCUGAAAACUUUUUCCCCUGCCAAUAUCAAAAAAAAAAAAAAUCUCAUCAUAAUCCUGAAGAUUCAACACUAGAUCCAAAUAAACUCGUCAUUUUAAGAGUCACAGCUGUGAAUUAUCAGAGUUGAAAACAUGCAACUGUAGAAGCUCAAGAGUGAGUGCUCUGUUCUUUUUUUUUUUUUUUUUUCAUUUUUUGUCUGGGAUCUUGAAGUGCCCAGAUUUCUUAUUUGAUGAGCAUUGGAGGAAGAGGAAUGUAUUAUGUGAAGCCUUACUCUAGAGAUUUACCAGCAUCCCAAGUUUAGAGUAGCCAUGACUCCAAUUAUCCUCUUUUCUCUAAUUAAAAUAGGAAAAGAGACCCUUGCUUCACUCGAAAGAGAUAGAGAGAUAGAUUGGGCUGAUGUUUAUUCAAUGAAUUUUAAUCUCUGGCAUCUUUAUGUUGGUGUAUGUUCUGUUUUAAUGAAGAUGCUGAGGCCAUGAUUUGGCCUUGAUGCUGUAUGGGUUAUUUGAUUUUCACAGAAGCUUCAGAUUGUGGUAUCUAUUUUGAAAUAUGAAAGAGUUCACAUAUACUGCGUAGGAAAUGCAAUUUAGUCUAAGUAUCCUGUUUAUGUCAAUUGACUUAAACAAUCUCAGUUUAUCAACUAUUGUUAGUCCAAUUAUAUUUUGUUGGUUCUGUGAUCUGUUAAAUGAAGAGAAAACAUAAGUCUCUGUUACAUAAAUGUAUGUGCCUUUAUAUACCAAUAUGGUUAUGGGCAUGGGUUUGUGAAAAAAAAAAUACUAAUAUUUGUAGUGCUAUUGUGUAUAUUGUAUCUCCAUCCCUCCCUCUCCCCCCCUCCCAAAAAUGGAAAUUAAUUAAACUGCUGUCAGUAUGUAAGUUUCUCAUCAUUAUGCCAGUUUCUAACCCUGAAUUUUGUGCAUGGCAGAUGGCCAAGAGGUUGAUGCAAGUUGCAAAUGCAGAAGGUCUUCAAGUUAACGAGGUAAAAGUCACAUGGAGUGUAUGGUUUAAACUAUGAUGCAAUCAUGAUUUCAGAAUGGACUUAUUCAAUUCUUGCUCAUUGAACUUUUUAGUUCUCUCUCUCUCUCCCUCCUUUUUCUGGUUUGUCAUCCAUUUAAUUUUUGGAGAAAGUGUAAUCUAAUUGAAUUGGAGUUUUUUACUACUUUUUAAGUUGGAUAAAUUUACUUUUGGAAGCUGGACAUGUUUUUUUUCCCUUUUUGUAACCUUCGGCAGUCACUUUUAGUUAUGAGCUGCUGAUUUUGUUCUUAUAAUUAUACCGUUUGUUAACGUCAACUAAGAUCUUUUCCCUCCAUUCUCUCCUGACUCCCCCCCUCCCUUCCCGCUACACACACCCACACACAAAAAAACUAAACUUUUUUGUUUUUCCAGAUUGCUCUUCAGGAACUUGCAGAAAGAGUGAAUGGAGAUAUGCGCAUGGCCCUUAAUCAGCUGCAGUACAUGAGUCUGUCUAUGUCAGUCAUUAAGUAUGAUGAUAUAAGGCAGCGCCUUCUUAGCGGUUCCAAGGAUGAAGACAUUUCACCUUUCACAGCUGUUGAUAAGUAUGACUUCAGUGAUUAUAAGUUUAGUCAUACAGUGAUUAUAAGUUUUGCUGAGUGUUGCUGUUUGAUUUAUGUUUCUUGCAAAUGCUUCUCUUCAUGUCAUUUUUUUUUAUUAAAUGAACUUUAUGCUCUCUCUCUCUCUCUCUUUGUUUGAUCAUGAAGAGGAACGGCAUGUUAUCUUUGUUCCUAUGUUACUAAAUCAUCGAUUAACCUAUUCUAUUUCUCGGAUAAUAUUUCUCUUAGUCUUUCACACCCUUCUCAUUUCCAGUUACUAAAUGGUUUUGACAAGUGCAAAUUCUGCUUUUAUGAGUCUAAAAAUUCUUUUAAAAAAAUAAUCCAUCUUUGUCUGGUUUAUUGCUUUGGUGAUGUAAAUUGUAAAGUACAGAGUUUGGGUGCCUUAUGACUAUGCCUCCAUUAGGUUUGAUAUUAUUGGCUCAAGCAUUAUUUGUUCUGGAGUUUCAGAAUUUUUUUAUGUUUUUUUAUGGUCAAUCACUGAAAAAAUUCUGAUUGAAUUGAAAUAAGCUUUUUCCCUGUCAAUUGGGAAGUUCUUAAUUAUGAGGCAUUUGUAAAUAUUCAAUUAUGCUUGCAUACUUAAUGAUUAUUUGAAUUUUACCUCACUUGAAGCUCAUGGUAAACAAUAUGUUGUCUGUUAUUAACCUGUUUCUCCCUCCCCGUGCCCCCAUUUGAAUUUGUUGUCACUGUAGGCUUUUUGGCAUUUAUGGGGGAAAGUUGAGAAUGGACCAGCGAAUUGACCUGAGCAUGAGUGAUCCUGAUCUAGUUCCACUUCUUAUUCAGGUUGUGCUUUUUCUUGCUUGUCUCACCAUGUUUGGUUGCAAUUAUUGAAUUGUGAAAGAUUUUUAGAUCUUCUUAGAAACCUCAAACCCAUUAUGUGAAUGAUUUUGGGACUCUAAAUCUAUGAAAAAACUUAGAAAACCUUGGUGCCUGAGUUGGAAACUGGCUCCAUUUCCAUGUAAUGUAGCUCGAACGAUUUGAUUAUUUGUAAUGCUGAAGUAAUUCUUAGAACUUUGAAGACUAUUAAAUAAUAAUUGGAAGAUGUAGUAAAUCAAUUAAAGGUACAAUAGCUUCUCUAGAAAUGUUCCUUUUUUUUUUCAUUUUUUGGUGGGCUUUGCUCCAACCAUAGACACCACCCCAAAACCAAAAUAGCCCUCACAUCGGCAGUACCUAGGUCCUUGUUUACCAACUGGAGGAUAUUAUGUACAUUUUAGGUGGUGACCUUCCAAAAGUGCUUUCCAACUUAUGCAUGAUAUUGGGUUUGUAAGAAUUCCUUUUCAUCAUAUGGACCAUGUUGCUAAGGCAUCCAAACAGCUGAAUUUGAAGUCCUUAUCUCGGAAGUUGCAUACUUUACUCUUUCUUUGUCUAUGUUACUGUGACUGUACUUUUUGCAAGUGCAAUUGCAUUCUUUUGCCCUGCAAUUUUUUGAUUAAUUGUUUUUAUGUCUUUGUUUUGCCGGAAUCAUCUCCUAUUGUUGGAUACUUGCAUAUUUGGUGGCACAAAGUUAUCCAUUGCACAUGUCACAACUAAUUGCCAAUUAUUGUUCUAGGUGUGACUAGUUUUUUAUUAUAUGGCAGGAAAAUUAUAUCAAUUAUAGGCCGAGUUCAAUUGGUAAAGAUGACAGUGGGAUGAAACGUAUGAACUUAAUUGCCCAAGCUGCUGAGUCUAUUGGUGAUGGUGAUAUAAUCAAUGUGCAGAUUCGAAGAUAUCGACAGUGGCAGCUUUCGCAAGCUGGUUCCCUCUCAUCAUGCAUCAUUCCGUAUGUAUUGUAUUUUUUAGGCCUUAAACUAUCAAGAGCUCGUCAAAAUAUUUUUAUUUUUCUCUGAGUGAUAUUUUCCAAUAUUGUUUUGUUUAAUCAGUGCUGCAUUGUUACAUGGACAAAGGGAGACACUUGAACAGGUAAUGAGUGUUAUGAGUUAGGUUUCUUGAUACUAUUAUGACUUCUUCAUGCAUUUCCGUAAUUGUUUGUGUCUUGACAUUAGUCUUUUUGUUUUUUAAAAAUCAAUUUCUUACUGUAUGCUUCUUCAAGGUUUGCAAGUACCAUAUGGAAGCUGUUCUUGACCUUUAUAUUCUAUGCGUACAUCAUUUUUUCAUGCAAAAUAUUGAAGCAUUCUAUGUCCUUUCUAGAAGCCUGCUCAUGGCUAGCUCAUUCUUUAUGCUUUGGUGAUUGAUAUGGUUAUCAGGCUUUAUCUUGUUCUCGUAGUUCAACUCACUAGCUUGAUACUGCCUUGCUAAAAUGUCAAAUAAACUUUCCUAUCUUGUCAGAAUAUUUAAUUAAACUAUGACUAUUUUUACUACAAUUUUACAAUUAUUUAGUCACAACAACAAUGGAUGUCGGUCAUCAACUUGUCAGUCUGGACUCCGUAUAAUGUUCUACGGGACCCUACACAAUUUGUGAUUAUGAUUGGACAAUUGGAGUGCAAUAAUUGCUGAUGAUGUUCUCUGUUUUGUUUCAUUGAGUUCAAUUUGAAUCCUCCUACUUCAUUUUUGUUGAAGGGAGUCCAAUUCAUAAAAAGUUAGAGAUUAUGACUGAUGCCACUGCCACUAUCUUCUGAGCUAGUGAGUGAGUCUGUGUGUGUGAGUUUAUUAUUCUCUUCACAUCAGAGCCAUCAUGUACUUGACCACAGUUGCUUAAAAACCUUCUUUCAGAACAACCAAACCUGUCGAUUAUACCCUUGAAAUUCACAAUUAAACCAACACAAUUACAUACAGCUACCCCUAUUCUGGCCCCUAAAAAAAACCCCACCCCUAAAAGAAUGUGACAUCAAAAUUACUCUAAUCUAGCUCUAAUGCACUAGAACAGAACCUAGCUAAACAAUCAAGAAAAUUUAACAUCAAUAACUGUAAUGCCCAUGUCAUAAAACCUAGUUUAUCACAACUAACAGAAUUGAAGAGGGGUGAUGAUUCAAUCACCAAUUACGCUUUGCAAUUUUGCCUUAGGGGAAGCUGAGUCUCAAUUCACAAGUUAAGAAAAAAAGGAAGUGUUGGGGGGGGGGGGGGGGGUGUAUUGAGGAGAGAGAGGAUGAAAAUAGUAAUAAAAUGGGAAAGACAGAAGAAAAUAUUAUUUUGGCCAAUCUGCUUUGGUGGCUUCUUUGAGCUUAAUAUUUCACCUUCCUUAAUUGUCUUCAUGGAUCUCUAUAUGGUAGGCAGUGUUCAGUGUGUUAAAAUUCAAUGAAAUUACUACCACAUACCUCUCCAAAUUGCCUCUAUUAGGAUGAACAAUUCGAAGCUCAUUGCAUUUUCCUGCUCGGAUGCUCGAGUAGAACAUGCAGUAAUGAAGCUUACUUUGUGCCAAUGCAAUUUUGUUUAGAAUGAUGAUAUCAUGUUGAAAUUUAGAUAUGUCCUAAUAUUCAAGGCUGGCUUCACAACUGCAGGGAGAACGGAAUUUUAAUAGAUUCGGCGGGUGGCUAGGGAAGAAUUCAACUAUGAGUAAAAAUUAUAGGCUUUUGGAGGAUUUGCAUGUUCAUAUUCUUGCUUCUCGUGAAUCUAGUUCAGGAAGGUAAUUCUUCUGUUUUAUGAACUUUUCCAUCAUAAUGUGUUUUUAACAUGUCAGGUUCUUUGUAUGCAGUAGACUAUUUAAAGCAUGUAAGCAUUACUUAAAUUUCUUAUGGCUUAAAUAACAAAAAGCCCCUGAACUAUGUCUGGUUAUGCAACUGAACCUCUAUAUUUUUAUUGUCCCCAAAAGAAACCCUUAUCCUUUGAUUUGUAUGAAAAAACCCCUAUUCUUUUACUAUACCCAAACAAGUCCUUUAUCUGUAACAGAAAAUUAACGGCUGUCAGACCUAAUACUAGUUGGUAUUUUCUUUUCAUGUGAUAGUAGAGUGGGCCAUGUCAUAUGCCAUGUGGAUGGUGUGGAAGGGGAAAAUGUAAAAAAUCCACCUCAGCUGCCAUGGGGUAACAUCAUAUGCCGUGUGGUCAGAAAAUCUCAGCUAGUAUUGGGUCUGAUGGUUGUUAAUUUUCCGUUAUGGAUUAAGGGCUUGUGUGGGCACAAUAAAAAAAAUAGGGCUUUUUUGGGUGCAUAUCAAAGGAUAAAGGCUUCUUUUGGAUACAAUAAAAGUAUAGGGGCUUAGUUGCAUAAACUGACAUAGUUUAGGGUUUUUUUUUUUUGUUAUUUAAGCCAUUUUUAUUCAUAUUCCCUACUGAUCCAUGACUUGAUCUUUGGUAAAUGAUAAACUAGCCGCAUGCUUGAGUUGUUGUUAAUGAUAUCUUCUCUCAUCAUUUUGCAUUUAUGUAGACCUUUUUGACAGAUAAACUAACUGAAGUAGAGUGCCAAAUACUGAAGUCUGACAUGGUCUACUUUCCCAUGCAGCUGUUAACAUACUAAGAUGUGCUAAUGUAGAUGUUUAAAUGUCAUCAGUUUUAUAUGCUAACAAGAUGAGUAAAUUAAGCAAUUGUGAUAAAGACCAAUAUGUUGACAUACUUGUUUAAAAAAAUGCAUUUCCUAAUCUAGUUGGGUCAAUAAUUUUGAGGAAACGGAGCUGAUUGACAUUAUUGUCAUCAAUUGUUUUUGUUCAAAGAUCUGCUCUGCUGCUAGUUAAAUUAAUUUAUAGGCAUUUUCUAUCGAUCUUUGAAGUCUUAUGAUUUCAAGAGAGAUGGAAAGGGAGAAAUGAAGAACUCAUUUUGCAUGCAUUUGCAUACGUGUCUGCAUUCAUGUGUGUGAAUCUAUGCAUAUAGAUUGUUGCAUGAGCCACAGCCUUCAUAAAAGUUGUUUUGUUCAUUGAUACGAACCAUUGGGGGAUAGCUAAAGAAAAUGACACUUGUCCUAGCUCUCAUGGAAUUUCAAUUAUUUCUUCAUAUACUAUGGGGUCUUAUUUCUCAUUUUGAUUACCUUUUCUUUGUUAAUGUAUCCUUUUUAAGUUGAACAGUGUUUUUGUUGUUGUAAAUGAUACAGAGAGACUCUUCGACUUGAUUACCUUACAGUUCUUCUGACACAAUUGACUAAUCCGCUUCGAGACAAGCCUAAGGUUCGGAACUUACAUUUUAAAUUAGUAUAUUGUAAGCAUUGUGUGACCCAAGGCAGGCCAUAUGUGCUGUUGCAAGUUAUGGUGUCCUCAAGAGGCCCGCAUGUUUGAGUGAGGUGUAUUGAAUUACAUGUUUUUUGUAACUCUGCUGAAGCAAAUAGAGAUGUAAGACUAGGGUGUUUGCUAGUGGUUGUUGUAUCACCUAAUUUAUUCAAUGACUCUUAUUAAGUAGGCAUUAACCUAGUGUUAUUUUACUUUGCCUUUCUGAAAUAUAUAAAAGCAAAUCAUCAUCUCUUUGUUCUCCAGUGGUUUUAUUCCUUUUAAAGGAAAGAAGAGAGAAUUCUUCCCUUGCUUAUGUUACUCUGUCUGCCCUUUCUCCUCUCCAAAUAUUCCUCUAGCUCCUUUCUUUGUUGGAUAUGUGUGUUGGGAGAUGGGUGGAAUGGGGAGGUGUUAUGUUAAUGCUCUUCACCUUUUGAUCUGUAUCCCUUUAGUCUGAAUUUUGUUUAUCAGAACCCUUGACCAUCUCCCAUUUUGCUCUCUACUGCAUAUUUAUUUUAUUUUAUUUUUCCUCUUAUGCGUAAUGCCUGAUUUUUGGGCCUGAAGCAUUAUAUCUCUUGUUCGCCUUGUACCUGUGCCUUCUCCUGUUUCCCUAUUUUCUUAUAUUUUGUUUCUGUUCUUCUGUUUAUCUUAGUGCACGUAUGUGCAUACAAAUGUCUGGAUGUGUUUGCAGUUGGCCUUUGUGCCUUAUGAGUGCCUUAGAUGUGAGAGGUUGCUGUUUUAAAUUUUUUCAUAUUUUCUUCUUCAUGGACCAGGAUGAAGCUGUUAAGCAGGUUGUUGAGUUUAUGAAUGCUUACUCAAUAAGCCAGGAGGAUUUUGAUACGGUUGUUGAGUUAUCUAAAUUCCAGGUACCCUCUACUUCUAUAGCCUAUAUAACAUACGUAGCUUCAUUUUCUGUUGUGUUUCCAACAUACUUUUUUUUUUUUUUCUGAAUAAUUGUGCUCAGGGGCAAUCAAAUCCACUGGAAGGCAUUCCAGCAGCUGUCAAAGCAGCUCUGACAAAAGCAUACAAUGAAGGAAGCAAGACACAAAUGGUACGAGCUGCGGAUUUAGUAACUCUUCCUGGAAUGAAAAAGGCCCCUAAGAAGCGAAUUGCUGCAAUACUAGAACCAUCAGAUGAUGUAUUAGGGGAGGAGAAUGGUGACACAUUGCCUGAAAGUGAAGAGAAGUCUUCAGACACAGAGGACUUGGGUAAAAAUUUGAUUUUAAUAUUGGUGUUAAUUAAUUUCCUUUAUUUCAUUGCUGUUUUGCAUUGCACUCAUCAAUUAUAUCUCUCAGUUAUCUGUUUAGCACAGUUAAUGUGGCACUUGUUUUUACUGUCUUUUAACAUGAUAGAAUCUUGAUAAAGGUCUACUAUUUGAUUCUAAGAAAAUAACUCAUCAACACUAAAAAUUAAAAAUAGAAAUAUGCAUGCAUUUGAAUCUACUAAAGUGGCAGGAGAAAUAUGUUGUACUGCAUUGUACUAGUUCUCGAGACAUUGAAAAUCCAAUUUGCUGGGCAAGGACCCAGGAUUUCCCAUUGGAUCAGGGAAACUUGUGAUGCUAACAUUAAAGUGGAAGAAAGAAGUUUCUUAGUGAGGGUGCAGAAAGUCUUGUCUAAAGUGAGGUUUUUUUUUUUUUUUUUUCCUGUUAUCAAUAUGGAGGUCUGCUAGGCCUUGAGCAUUCUAUGGGUGGUAGCUGUCUCCCAUCUCAUAAACCUUAUCCUCCCUUUCCAAGUUUCUAACUUGACAUCUCAAGAUAAAUUCUAACUAUUUACAUUUUCCUUUUCCCAUCCCAUAAAACCCACCAUAACUACUCUCGUUGCCUAAACCUUAUCUCUCCUUCCCAUGGUUUGAACUUGAGUUUUCAAAUUGGAAGUCUCAUACACUCCAGCCCCCUUUCUUAAGGUAUAAACUUGACUUUGAUGUUGGAAGUCCUAAGAUCUAAUAAGUAGGGGAUUAUUUUGAAGUCUUCUGUGAUAAGUGGAACACAACCAGUGAGCUGUAACAACCAAGGACUUGAAUAGUUGUCUCAAAAAGGCAAAAAAUAAAAAAUAAAAAAAUAAAAAUAAAAAAGGGAACAUAUACAGUUUUCUGGUUGUUAUAUUUUCGGACAAAUAUCUGAAUGUGUACUAUUCAUUUCAUUCAUUAAUUAUGUUUAUGCCUUUUCUUUUGGCACAACAGAAGGAACUACCGAUGGUGAGACGCUGCGGGCAGAACUUCAGAGUCUGAACUCCAAAGGUUGCUGCCUUUGUCUCAGCCUUCUGUUUUUUAAUCAAGAGUGAUUAUUCGAUAUAUAUUCGUUCCUGUUGUACCAGUUAAUUGUUUUUAAUAUUUUGCCUUAUUUUCCCUAGGAAUUGAAGUACAAAUGGAGUUGAAAGGGACAGGGAAUUCAAGUGCUAAGAAGGCACCAGCUGGUAGAGGAAGAGGUGGUAAGGGUGCUUCAGGAUCUGCUGAAAAGAAAGGUGGGCGUGGUUCAGGGGCAGGAGCAAAGAGAAAAAGAUGAGAAGCGAGUAUAGGGUGGACAUUCUACAAUUUUGGCGUUGUUUAUAUAACCAGUGUAAGGAGCAUGUCACUCCACAACUUAUAACUCUUUUAGGAUGGUGAGUGAGGAUUGUAGUUGGAUUCCUUGGUGUAAGUAGCGUAGAGGAUAUCAUUCCCAUGAUUGAUGCAUAACAAUCUUGGGCAUUUUGAGUAUGUUAUGGGAAUGCUGAGUUGCCCAUUAAACCUUCCCUUUGGAUGAAGCCUAGUCCUAUUGCAUGCCAAUUAUUCUGGUGUUAUUUGCUUUCUCUUUGUCAAUUAUCUUUAUCUUGCAAAUAGCUUAAACUCAAAUAUAGAUUACGCCAAUCACUUUUAUCUUAUAACAUGAGCAUAAAUAUAUAUAUAUAUAGAAAUAUGUACACUUUUCAUCAAUGAAAGUGAAGCAAAUUCUAAGAAUUUGUAACCUGACUCAUGCGCUGCUAUGCUAUCUAUACUCUUUCACCACUUAACUUUAAGAAUAUCAAUUAAUUUUCCAUUCUAAACUAAUAUUGCGUAUUACAAAGUAUUGGAACUCAAGCUUCAUAUUGAACACAGUUUCCCUCAACAAAUAAAAUGGCAAUUAAGAAACCUAAUUUUAAAUCUAAGCGUACAUAUGUCUUCAUUACAAUCUCUAUGGGUUGGGCUAAUAUAGUACGUAAGCUAGAAUAUUGUUUAAUGAUGUUCAAACAGCUAUAACCUUAUGCAAACAAGUGAAUUAAAUUUAUUAUGACUUAUUCCAGAAUCAAUUAAAUUUAAUUAAUAUAUGUAAUUCACUAUAAAGUCGAAACUUUAUUAUAAGAAAGUAAAAAUUAAAGCAUGUAUUAUAUUUGGUGGUUAUAUCAGGAAAUUAAAAAAAAAAAAUUGUCUUAUUAAAAAUAAAAAAAAUCUCCACAAAUGAAUAGUUUGAGACCUUAUAUUAUAUAUUAUAAAUUAAUUUUUCAAAGCAUUAUAAAUUGGUUAGUAUAGAUUUCCUAAUAUAGUUUUCAAGGAUAUGUGCUACAAUUUCAUUUUGAUAAAAGGAAAAUCAUUUUAAAGCUUGUAUUUAUUAUUGUUUUGAUUUUAAAUAAUCCUUGUAUGAAUAGAAGUAGAAUGAUUUUAAACAAUUUUUGUACAAGUCGAAGUAGAAGAAAGGAUAUGAGCUACUAGGAAUGUUAUGCCGGUACAUAUAUUCCAUUUCCAAACUUAUUCUUCCUAAUUUCAAUUUUAGUUUUUUUUUUCCUUUGAUACAAAUCUAUUCAUCCAAAUUCAUAUGAGAAAAAUUUUUUUCACAAGAAAAUACGAAUAAAAAGCUCGAGAUCAUGGGUACGCAGGACAGAGUCAAUGAUUGUAUCAAUGUGAUUAGUCUUGAUAAUGAGAGAAUAUUCAAGAAAUUGUAUCAAAUUGUCCCCAAACAAAUAUCUGAUGUAACCUCCAAACAGAAUUUUGAUGAUAAAGUCAUUUCAAGCCAAGGAGUGAAGAUAAAAUUUAGAGCAUGUUAUCUUCCAAAAGACAAUGAGUUGAAGCCUUUAGAAGAGGAUGUAUGUUUUAUUUGCUACGAGGAACAAACAUUGGUUGUGGCUGAUGGUGUUGGAGGAUGAGCAGCCAAGGACGUGGAUGCAGGCGAAUAUGCUCGAGAACUGAUGGCUAAUGCCAUCAUUGGUGUCUAUGAAGAGCAUAUGCUUAAGGGAAGUGUUGAUCUUGGGAAAGUGAAGCUUACUUCCAUAUCAAGGUUGAAGGAUUAUCGACGGCCUGUAUUCUCGAGUUUAUGUGGGGAACAGUGGGUUCAUGAUGUUUAGGGAUACAAAAUUGGUCUAUCGAUCACCCAUUCAACAACGUGAUUACAACUAUCUUUAUCAAUUGAGAAGUGGCGAAAUUAGUGAUGGACCUGAUAAUGACAACAGAGUUAUUUGUGAGGGUGGAGGCAGGGGACAUAAUCAUUCUUGACAUCGAUGGACUGCUUGAUAACUUGCAUCCAACUAAGAUGGAGGAAAUCUUGAAGCGUGCGACAAAGGAACAAGAACAAAGAGUUUGAGAAGAUAGCAUUGUUGAUAGCAAAGUAUGCGUUGUACAACUCGUUCGACAAGUUUGUGCUCUCUCCAUUUGCAGAAGCUGCAAAAAAGGCAGGACUCAAUCAUAUGGGAGGCAAGGUAGAUAACAUUACAGUUGUUGUAGGAAUCAUUCAAUCUUAAGAGGCUGCAGCUGGACUGCUUUCAUCCUUCUCAUUCUCUUGUAUCAUGGCUUCAUUAUUUACUAUUUUUUCUUUUUGUACUACUACAAUUGUUAUGGUGAGUUGGUCUAUAAAUUGGUUAGCCAUGUCACUUGUAAGACAGUAUACAAGUAAUACUCCCUCUAUCUCAUUUACAGUGAUGGAUCUACAAUUUCGUAUGAGGAGUGGUUGAAGAGUAAUCAUAUAAAGUAAUGGAUUGAGUCAAUAAUUCGAUUCAAAACAAAAAAAUUAAUCACUUUUGAAAUAAAAUUAAAUUAUAACAUAAAAUUUCAUUAAGAAUUUAAAUAUAAGUUUUCAGAUUCACUAAAAUAAAUAGAUAUAAAAUAUAAGAAAAAAUUAGCAUUAAAUAGACAUUCAUAAUUGACGUGUCAAGAAUGGGAAGGUCAUCAUUGUCUUGUUGAGAUCUUUUCUUAAAGUAAGAAUCAAUUUUGAAUUAAUCAUGAUAAGCUCAAUUUAUACUUAUUUAAUUUGAAAAAAUAAGAUAAGAUUAUUAAAAUUUUCUAAAUAUUUUAAUCACAUUCUUGUUUAGUUUUUCAUGUCAACAUAUGACAUAUUGCAUAAGUGUUCACAUCAAAUCAAUAGAUUGUGAGAAAAGUUAAAGAAAAAAAUAUACUCUUUAGGUAGUUAAGAAGCGCUCAAAUUGAAUUAAUAGAUUGUAAGAAAAAUCAAAGUAAAAAGUUAUACUCUUUAGGUAGUUAAGGUCAUUAAGCAAUGCAUCUUUUACUUCAUAGGACAAAAAAAAAAAAAAUACAUAUGCUGCAUAAGUGUUCAAAUUGAAUCAAUGGAUUGUACAAAAAACCAACGUAUAAAAUUACAUUUUUUAGGCAAUUAAGUAAUGCAUAUUUUACUCCACAGGACCAAGGAAAAUACAUGUUAAAGCCAAAUCCUCCAAAUUGGUUUAAAAAGGAAAAAAGAGCAAAAAAAAAAAAAAGAUAUCCAAAUUGGUUUAAAAAGGAAAAAAGAGCAAAAAAAAAAAAAGAAAUCCAAAUUGGUUUUAAAAAUAAGGGAAAAAGAGAAAAAAAGAAAAAAUAAUUCCAAAAAGAGCAAAAAAAAAAGAAAAGAAAUCCAAAUUGGUUUAAAAAAGAAGGAAAAAAAGAGAAAAAAAUCUAAAUUGGUUUAAAAAAGAAGAAAAAAAUAGGGAAAAAAAGAAAACAAAAUUUCAAAAUUUGGAUCUAGAAAGACUUGUUGAAAAUUAACUUAAAUUCCUUACCACUACUCCAAAGCAAUUCAUUAAAUUUAUUUAAAGGUGACGAAGUUAGAUAUUUUUAAUAUUAUAACCACAAAAAUUAAAAAAUUAAAAAUUGAGAGGUCGCAACCGUCACUGGCCUGCUCACUUAUUUUAUGUUCCCACAAAUUUAUGUUUUUCUGAUAAAACUUUUUUAAUUGAAGUUUAUCAUUGAAAACUGAAAAAUUUAGCAAGUUUGGGUUGGUAGAUUCUACCUUAUGCUGUUGUAGAAAAGAUGGCUGCAUUAUUGAAAGUAAUAGCUGAUAUACCUUGUUGUCCACUAAAGCAUAUGACAUGAAAUCCUUGGCGUUUUGGAUAGCAAUACCAACUUGGGUUAAGCAUGUGUGAUUCACAACAUAGCCCCAAUCAUAUAAAAGAUUAUUGAAAAAGUAUUUAUAAGACUAAACAAGUAUCUAAAAUUCAAUAACAUAUGUGUAAUAUUUUAGUAACUUAAAUUAUUAAAAUCACAUAUAAGGUUGCUGAAAAUGUAUUGCAAUAAAUUGUAUUGGCAUCAUUUACCAACACAAAACAUAUAAAAUAAUUAUCAUUUUCAUAUCAUAUCCUUGACCUCAAUUUCAUUCAUAAUCUUUUUUUAAGGCAAUUUUAAGCUUUCAUUGAUGAAAGUAAAUAAGAAAAUAAGCCACCAAGGUGCUCUAGGGAUCAAAAUAGGUCCCUGAAACCCCUUCUUCUAAUUAAUCAUUUAUAGCUCAAAAGCACCCCAUAAACAUCCCAGUACGACUAGAUUUUAACACAAUAUCUACAGCAGAAAUGAUCAAUUCACACUGCCCUAACAACCUUGCCUGUUCGAAGAGAUAGGCCGCAGCAGCAGACAAAUAACAGCCUAGCAAUAGAUGGAACCCAUACCUAAUACAAAAUGCACAUCAUCAGCAUAAUUCAAACUCCCCAAAGACCUGAUCCUCAGUGACGAUUGGAAACAAAAAUAGGGUCCCAUCCUAUGUACCAUAUUAGUUGCAAUCCCACCAAAACAUUCCUAGGCAGCAUAGCUGAUGUUGAUGUAUUUUCAAAAUCAAAAGUUAUAUCACAUAAUGAAAAACUAUUUUAGUUCAGAGGUUAUGUCAUAUAAAGUGAUGUAGUGUGACUAUUGGAUUGUAGAUAGGUUUAUGUGAAUGGUUAUGUUUUUUAGUAAAAUGACAUCUAAUGGUUAUGAGACAAAUUGAAAAAAACACCAUAGCUUAAAAGUUUAAAUAUGAAAAGUUAUUGUUUCAAAUUAUAAGUUAAAGAUUAUGUUUUAUGGAAUGAAUGGUUGUCUUUUUAUAAGAUGAUUAUUAAAAUAUUACCUUUAUCUAAAGGUUGUGUCUUGCAAUAUGUAAAGAUGUCUUUUAGACAAAGUGAUGCUUUAAUGAAAGGGUUGUGCCCUUGAAGAAGAGACACUUGCAAGUCUAUAUAAAGGGCUUGUUGUCAACUAUUUUGACACAUCAAAUCAAAAACAAAACAAGAGCAGAAAAAUCAAGAGUAAGAAAAGUGCUGUGUUCUAUUAACAUAAACACUUAAAUUUUCAUCAACUAUAAAAGCGUCCAAAUUCCUUAUAAUCUACUUGCUAUAGAAAGUAGACUCUAAGAUCGAACAACUUUGCAAACUCUCAUAAAGUGUAAGAUGAAGUUAGACGUUAGUUUCAUUGUAUCCCUAAAACUAUUCGCAUUAUGCCCCUUUGCAUAUAGAGUGGUGGGAUGAAAUAAAUCUUAAAAAUAGCAUCUAUUGAAAGGCUCACCUUAAAGUCAAUUUUGUCGAUUCUUUAAAUUCCAUUUAAGCCCCAUUUGCACCAAUAGCUGAUCAUGGCAUUCAAGUCUCUAGUGGUAGCUUAUAUUAGCUGCAGAAUUGACAAUAAGAGCUUGGACCCAGCCACCAGCACUAACAUCACCUCCACACCAAUUACAAGACAUCCAAAAUAUAUCCCAUGGACAUAACAUAGCUUAAGGGAAAGAUAAUUCUGAAAACAAAAGGCAAACCAAUCUAGCACGGCAAUCUUCAUUCAUAAUUAAAACCAUCAUAUAUAGUUACCAAAAUUUGAUGGCACCAAUAGUUCAAUAUUGACAUGCAUUUAAAUAUAUAAAAUAUAUAUAUAUAUAUUUACAAAUCCAGUAAACAACAUUAUUUUACAAAACAAUAUAUUUUGUACAAGAAAUAAAAAAAAAAACAAGAACUAUGUACUAAGAAGAAAAAAGUUUUCCCCAAGAAAAUGGAAUUCUUCAAUCUCAAAUGUUAAAUGCAAAGUGCUUUGAGCAACUUAAGAUAACAAAGCAUAGUUAUGGUAAUAUAUCUUGAUGGCCUGAUGGGCACUAAGAUUAUAUAUGAACCAAAAGAGUUCAAUUUCAUAAAUUAGUUAAUAUGAUUCACUACAAUCAACACAAAGAUUUUCCUUCAAGACUUGGUUUCCACAUUCAUUUAUCCAUCUUUGUCUACCCAAAAAGGUCAUGUUAGCAGUGCAGGGUGUUUUGUAAGUAGAGAGCUGAUGGUCAUGAGGCCUCUCCAUCAGGCUUUGGUAGCCAACUCCAUACAACCAAUGAGCCAGUUGCAUCCUUUGUGAAGAAAAUACCAUAUGGCCCUCUUGGAACCACUCUUACUUCUCGUUUUGAAAAUGAUCUGCCCCUCUCCAUGAACCUGUAACACAAAAAUUAAGUUCAUUAAUCAGUAUUAUUUCAUACAAGGAACUUUUAAGCCAAAAAGAUUCCCUCACUCUUGUAAUGGAAACAUGAAGAGAUAUACUCACGAUGGCAACUCAUUUAGGUGAAUAGUGUUGUCAUUGUAAGAGCAGAAUAAAACUGGUUUCAUUUUAGCGUGUUCAUACCAUAAAGUGUGAGCACACCUUGAAAUCAAAAGUCCAUAUAAAGAAAUUGGAAGUCCGUGUUCUACGCCUAGACUCUAUAAGGAAAAAAGCAUAUAUAUAUGCAUGUUCUUUAUAUAUAUAAAAAAAAGACUAAGGCCAACUGAUGAGCCAAUUCCAUCAUGUAAUUUUAUGGAGCUAUAAUUCCAUUUCUACAAAGAUAAGAGACACGUCAUUUGCAUUACUACAAUUUUAGUUCUUGUUCCUCAAUCUUUCAAAUUUGUGGUGUUCAAACUCCAACAUUAUUUGCUGUAAAGUUGCUCUCUCAGCCUACCUUGGAAGACUUAAGUUCUUACGAAUGUUACUCAUACGUUAAUUCCACUUUAAAAACCUAAGCACAAUUUUUUGCAUAAAAAAAAAUCCAAUCGACUAGAUGAAACAUGAAUUGCUUUCUUACGUCAUAGUUCAUACAAGGUCAACAUGAAGUCAUUCCUCAUUUAAUACUCAUAUCAUUGUUGUAACUUUGUAAAUGAACAUAUAAAAGCUGAGAAAGAAACAUAGAUGGAUUAUUAAUGUUCCUAUAGACAAAAGAAGUAAAAGAAAAACAAGACAUACAUUUUCCUCAUUAUGAGUAUAGAUCACUUCCUAAGAUGUUAUUCUUCGUAUAAAAAUAAUGAGAGACAAUAAUGACCUAACAUUGUCUUAAUCUUAUUACAUUGAAAAGAUUGUAAUAAAGUAUGGUAAGUCAAAUUGUAUACCAAUGUCUACGCCUUAUAUUCUAAUCUAAGGCUAGUAUCCAACAAAAAUAAGCCGACAGCACAAAUGAAUAUGCCAAGGUGAUUAUAUGUCUAAUGUAUGCUAUGGUGUGUACAAGGUCCGACAUUGCUUUUUCAGAUGGGAUGCUAAGCCGGUUUACAAGUAAUCCAAGUAAAAACCAUUGAUAUGUUGUUCAUAGAGUUCUAAGGUACUUAAAGAGUACAAUGAAUUAUGGCAUUUAUUAUUCAGAUUUUUCUUUAGUUUUUGAAGCGUAUAUAGAUGCUAGUUUGAACUCAAAUAAAACGGAUCAUACUUCUAUGACUGGUUAGGUUUUUACAAUUGGUGGGGGUGUUGUUUCUUAGGAUUUUAAGAAACAAUCUUGUCAAAUGAAAUCUACCAUGGUAGUUGAAUUUGUAGCUUUAGCAUCUGUCACCCAAGAAACGGAAUGGUUAAGAGAUUUACUUUAUGAAAUUUCAUUUUGGUUUAAACCAAUGACACCAAUCUUGAUACAUUAUGACAAUGAAGUAACGAUAUCAAAGGCAUAUAAUCAAGCAUACAACGGAAAGAGUCGAUAUAUUAGACUUUAAUAUGGCAUUGUAAGAUAAAGAAUUAGUGAUGGUAUAGUCACUAUAAGUUAUGUGUGAUCUUAUGAAAACUUAGCAGAUUUGUUUGCUAAAGGUCUAAAAAAGGACAUAGUGAUAAAAACCUCAAAAAGGAUAGGUCUCAAGCGUAUCAACUAAAUCUCCAAUGGUGGGAGCUCACUUCAGUGCUUGUGGCUGACUUACAAGUCUUGGGUAUUGGUCAUUCUACCAAAUGAAUGAUUGCAAGCACUAAUUUAUAUUUUCCAUCCCAAGAUGUAUAAUGUUUGGUUCCCAUAAUGUGUAAAACAAGGUUGAACAAAAGUUUUUAAUAGACCCAUAACAUGUAUAUGUUAAAAUAUUAUUAUUACAAGGUACUUCUGAUGGGAGCUACCUAUAUGAGUGGAGGUGUGACAGCUUCUAGGAGCUAACGAAUUGACUAUGACAAGCACUCAUGAAUGGAUGCAAAACAUAAGGCCAUAAAACUUGUUGGAAAAACUAAAUACAAAGUGAGUUAGGAAGUUUGUGUGUGUUUAAUCGCCCGACUAAUCAAAUGAAGAAUUGAUAGUUCAAUGCUUGGUCAACCACUCAAUUCAAAAUAAAACCAAUUGCACUUACUAAGUGAAGGUUCAAAUCAGCGGGUUUAUGCAUAAGAUUUUCAAAAUUGUUGAUAUUUGAAAAUUUUGAAAAUAGUGGGGGAUUGUUAGUGUACUUUCAAAAUAAAAGGUAGUCUUUUCAAAUGAAAAGUUAUCUUUUCAUAUUGUGUCUUAUGAAUGAAUAGUUGUAAUUUCAAAUGAUAAUUAUGGAAACAUCCCUUUAUCUAUAGGUUGUGUCUUAAAAAUACAAAGAUGUUUUUUAGAAAAAGAGGUGCCUUGAUGAAAGAAUUGUGUCUUUGAGAAGAUACUUGCAAGCCUAUAUAAAGGACUUACUGUUAACCAUUUUAAUAUAUCAAAACAAAAACAAAACAAUAACAGAAAAAUCAAGAGUAAGAGAAGUGUUGUGUUCUAAAAAUUAACAUAAAUACUUAAGUUCCCAUUAACUACAAAAAGCAUUUAAAUCCCUUGUAAUCUACUUGCUACAAAAAGUAGGUUAUUAGGUUGAACAACUUUGCAAACUCUUAAAUGUAUUUAAUGGUCUACUCUCGUAAUGUAUUUCAUUGUAUCUUUAAGGCUAUUCACAUUAUUCCCUUUUACAUACAAAGUAGUGGAGGCGAAUUAAGUCUUAAAGAUAACGUUUAUUGAAAAGCUCAUUUUGAAGUCAAUUUUGUCAUUUUCUUAAAUUUCAUCUAAACCCCAUUUGCACCAACAAAAAAGAAAGCAAAUUAAGACAACAAACCAAAAAAUGUAGAAAACUCAAGGAAAUAAUAAGAAAGAAAAAGAAAAGCAAGAAGAAGAAGUGGAGAAGAUUUUGGAUACUGAAACAACAAGAACAUGAAGAAGGGAAAAUAGAAAGAUGGAGAAACACAAGAAAAAGAUGGAAAAGAGAAAGGCAAAGAAAAUAAGAGAAAGUUCUAGAUAUUGAACUAAUAAAGACAAAAGGAAAGGAAAAUAAAAGAAAUAGAGAAACUGAAGAAAAGGAAGGUUCUGGAUAGCAAAGUGCAGCUUUGUGCCAGAGAUAAAAUGAUAAUAUAAAAAAAAUCAGAAAUUAUAUAUACUAUCAGUAAAUAAGAUGUGAGACCACAAACUUAACAAGCGACACGUCACACAUACAAAAUGCUAAUUGAUCGUUCAUACAAAACGCCCAAGUGUGAAACCAAGAGCCUUACCAAGUGUCAAGCCAAUAGCUUUUCAGGGCUUCCUUUAACAUAUGGUUAUAGAUAUGACAGCAGCAGUAUGACCUUCCAAAGAUAUAGCAAGUUGAAAAGGUUGGGCUCAGAAUUGGCUUUCCAUGAGAUUAUAGCCCCAUUCUGCAACAAAACGAUGGAUUAAGUAACUCACUUUUGUGUCAAAGUCAAAAAGAAGUCAAUGUAAACUAAUGAUUUAAAGAAAGAUGGACUCAAAUCAGAUUAAACACCUAUGUACCAGCAAAAAGCAUAUCAUUAGCCAUUGCCAUGGCAUGGACUUACCUAACUAGCCUUUUUAGAUAGAAAGCACUUUAUAUAAAAGACAUUCAUUUGUUCUGGAUCCCUGACUGGUGGUUCUUAGAAAAUUUUAGCUGCAAAUUUUCUAACAUCAAAACUGCACCAAGACUAAUUCUUAUUAAUCAGGGGCUCCAUAACAAGAUCAAAUAAGAACCAAUACAGCUAGCGAAUCAAAGGCAUAAAUAUACCAUUUAUCAUUAUGGACAAGAUAUUUAGAGAAAAUGGAAGUUAGACAAACCAUCCUGUUCAAAAUCCUUAACAAGCAAUAUCUUCCUCUCCUCUAAGAAGAGUAAGCUUAACUCUAUGCCUCUUUGCCAAUGUUGGUGUUUGUUUCCCUUUUUAUACCUAUCCAGACUUAAUGUACAAGCUUCUAGUUUGGCUCCACGUGCUUAAUUUUUUUGAAUAAAUAUUAAAUAGAGUUUGACUUCACUCUAAACAACUCUUUUCUUUCUUUCCUUUUCUAUUACAUAUCAUUUGGUUUCCUACUCCGUUUCAUUUGCAUAGCAAAAACCAAAUAAAAAAAUUACUCCAUUACUUUUCUUCUUUGACAGAAAUUGAUCCAUUAAAGUUCAUCUUAGAAAUUUUCCUUCUGAAGAAAACACUAAGAAAAAGUUUUGAAAUCAUAGGUAUGCACAACAAAGUUGAUAGUUGUAACAAUAUGGGUAGUCUUGAUAAUGAGAGAAUUUUCAAGAAACGUCAAAUUGUACUUGAACAAAUAUCUGCAUUAAUCUCUAAGCAAAAUCUUGAUAAUAAAGUCUUUUCAAGCUAAAGAUUAGAGGAUGGGCAACCAAGGGCAUGGAUGUAGGCGAAUAUCUUCGAUAACUUAUGGCUAACGCCACCAUAGCUGUCCAUGAAGAACAUGAGCUUAAGGGAAGUGUUGAUCCUAGGACAGUCUUGUAGGAAGCUUACUUCCAUACCAAGGUUGAAGGAUCAUCAACGGCCUGUAUUCUCACACUUAAAGCCAACUUUUUGCAUGCUGUGAAUGUGGGAGACAGUGGGGUCAUGGCGUUUAGAGAUGCAAAAUUGGUCUGUCGAUCACCCAGUCAGCAACGUGAUUUCAAAUAUCCUUAUCAAUUGGGUAAUAGCGAGAUUAGUGAUGGACCUAAUAUGACAAUGAAGUUAUUUGUGAGGGUGGAGGCAGGGGACAUAGUCGUUCUUGGCACCGAUGGCUGCUUGAUAGCAUGCAUCCAACUGAGAUGGAGGAAAUUUUGAAGCGCGAAACAAAGGAAAAAAAAGGAAAUGUUUGUCCAGAUAAGAUAGCAUCAUUGAUAGCAGGGUAUGCAUUGCACAACUCGUUUGACAGAUUUGCAUUCUCUCCAUUUGAAGAAGCUGCAAAGAAGGCAGGGCUGAAUCGUAUGGGAGGCAAGGUAGAUGACAUUACAGUUGUCGUAAGGAUCGUUCAAUCUUAAGGGGCUGCAGCUGGACUGUUUUUAUCCUGCUCAUUUUCUUGUAUAUUUUCCUUUUGUCCUAGUACUACAAUUGAUAUGGUGAGUUAGUCUAUAAAUUGGUUAGCCAUGUAAUUUGUAAGAUACGGACUUUUAAUGAAAAUCCAAACUUUCUUCCAAUUUUUCUACUACAUUAUCUAUCACUUUGUUUCAUACUCAUUGCAUUCACAUACCUAAAACCAAUAAAAGAAAACGUUUUAUAUUAGAAUCACAUGUUAAACGGUUAACACCUUCAAAGAGAAAAGUGAGUUUCCAUUUUGUAGGAUUGUUAAAAAAUUAUAACAAACCUGCAAGCUGCAUGGAAUUGAUAAGAAAGCAAUAAAGCAGAAGAGAAGUCGAGAGUAAGUUGAAUGUCUUUUGAAUUCGGCUCCUCUCCAGGUAUGAAUAUCUACUUAAUUGGAGAAAUUCUCUGUAAUCAACAAAUAUAGCUGGAACCAUGUCAUAGGCUUCCUCAAUCCUAUCCUUUACAUCUUGUGAAGGAACAGUUUUACUGACUGCGAAUUCAGAUUCUAAAUUUGCAAAGAAUGUCUCAGCCUCUUCCUAAAUCGACUCUUUGGACAGAUUUGGCUAAGGUUCCACAGUCUGUAACUAGGAAAACUUGAAAAGGAAAAAAUAAGGCUACAAACUGCAAGUACUACUCUCCCUAUCUCACUUUUAUUAUAUUGCCACAGUUUGAUUUUUUGAGAAAACCUUUUUUUUUUUAAUUUAUGAUCUUUUUUAUUCUAAUUUAACAUUGAAAACUGGGAAAUUUAGCAAGUUUGAGUUGGUAGAUUCUACCUUAUGUUGUUGUAGAAAAGAUGGCAGCAUUAUCGAAAGUAAUAGCUAAUAUUUUGUUGUCAACUAGAUCAUAUGACAUGAAAUCAGUGGGAUAGCAACAUCAACUUGAAUUAAGCAUGUGCCAUUUACAAUAUAGCCUCCAUUUGGUAAGUAUAAACAAAAAAGAGGCAAUAAUUCAAACAUUUUCUUUAUGCAAGAAGAAAAAAAAAAAGAUUGUCAAUCAUGCCGACUAAAGCCCUUGAGUGGCUAUUGGGAUUUGUUUCUGCAAACGGUGAGGCAAUAAAAAUCUCAACAUGAAUUAUGCAGGUAUCGUUUACAAGAUAGGCUGUUGGAGGAUUGUAGGGUUCAUUCAGAUAUUACUUAUAAUUAAGUUAAUUUUUCAAAUGAGAAAAAAAAAAUAAAAAGUUUUCUUAAUACAAAUUUUGGGUCAUUUCAUAUUUAAAUAAUGGAAAUGAGUGUCGGUAUAUGGUUUUUUUUUUUUUGAAAAGUAAAUUUAUUGACCUCAACAAUCAGUUUAUCAUUUCAAGUUUCUUGUUUGUAUAACAAGAGACUUUGCAUGACAUAAUAACUUGAUUUGUGUAUGAAAAAUCUGAACAAUUACCAAAAACAAUUACCGCACGAAAAGCAAUUGACAACAAAACUCAAAAUGUUCCCUGGUUGCAUCACAAAAAAUAAUUUGCCCCUAGAACAAAAACUGGGCUUUGAUCAAUUAGAAAAUAAAAACUCUUCAGUACCUAUUCAUAGCCUUCAUACUUAUACAGCCACAGACCUACAAAUCCUACCUCCAAACUUGUAGCCUACCAUCCUAGAUCCAUACUUACAAAGCCAUAUCCGUUAUUCCUUGCACCCAAAUUCGGAUUAUUUUGAAUCAAUAAAAAUUCGAUUCAUUUGAAAUUCAAGUGGAUAAUUUUUAAAAUGAAAUUGAGUUGAAUUAGACUAAUCAUUCUAGUUGACUGAGAUUUUAUCACCCUCAAUUAAGUUGUUCAAUACAACAUUUUAUCUAAGCAUACCGCACAUCUAGAAGUGUAAUCAAGUCAAGUCUAUCUAGUGUUAGGUGAGUUUGAGCUCGGUUCAAUUAAAAAACUCAAUGCUCGAGCUUGGUCACGUACAAUGUCAAGCUCGAGCUUGACUCAAUUGAAAAAUUCGAGUCUCGAGUUCAGUUGAAUUUUAUUUUCUCAUGAACAAGCUUGAUUCAAGAAAAAAUUAAACUACUUGAGGUCAAUUCAAUUAUUAUUAAUUUAUAUAAAAAAUUUAAAACUCGACUUGAGUAUGAAUUUAGAAAAACAAUUCAAGUAAAACUUUAAAAUAGGUAAAUAACUAUCAUAUUUUUUUGAUAGAUGUAUAAAAUAUUAAAAAAAAUUUUAAUAUUCUUGAGUUUAGAUCAACUUGAGUUUGAUUUUGGUAACUUUUAAGCCAAUGAUAUUUUUGUCGUUUGAGUCGAAUUUGGUUUGGAUUGGUCUUUCAUAUUCAGUUAAAGCUUGGCUGAGUCUGCUUUUAGUCCCUUUGGAUUUUGGAUUCAGCUACUUUUGGUUAUCUUUUUCAAGUCAAUAUUCUUAGAUUUUGGGUUGAAUUGCAGACCGAUAACGAAAUCAUUUGGGUCGGUUCAGAUUUUUACUAGAUGAUUACAACUUAGAAGUUCCAUUCACAAAAUAAGAUUUAUGAGAUUAAAAAAAUUUCUCUUAUUAUGUAAUUCAAUAUGAAAUGCACAAUUAACGCUUCUAGCAAAAAAAAAUUUCUUUUGCUGCAUUUCUUUUUAAUUGUCCAUAUUUGACUUUUAAAAAAUUUAAGAUUAAACAUUUUGAUUUUUAUAUUUUUUAUUAAAAUUUUAAAACUUUUUACAUAAAUAUGAUUUUAAUGCCAAAAAGCAUAAAAAGGAAGCAAUGAAAAAUAAAAUUGAAAUUUAAAAAAAAAUAAAAAGUAUUAGAUAUUUUAAAGUAGGAAAUAAGACACAUAAUUUUAGAAUACGAGAAACAAGAAAAUGGGAAGUAAGUUUAUGUACGAAGCAUUAAAAAAUAAGUUACAUAGAAAUCCUACAUAAUAAAAGAGGUAAUGGGGAAUAUAAGUACUCAGUCUGCAAACAGUGAGCCAAUAGAAAUCUCAACUUGAAUUAUGCAGGUAUCAUCUACAAGAUAGCCUGUUCGAGGAUUGUAGAGUUCAGUCAGAGGCAUGAAGCAAUUGAAGCCCCAGUCAUGGUCACGUUCAUUAAACUCAUGAUAUGUGUCUGAAAAAGCAACGCAAAAGAUUGUCAAUUUCAGUUUAAAACAAGAAUGGAAAACCAAAAGAGACAAAAUAAUGCAAAGAGCAUAUGUAGAAUUGGCAUAAAUCACUUGGGAAGAGCUUCUUCCUGAUGCAAAAGCUUAACUAGAAAAAUAAUAAACAACACAAGGAGUGGGAGCUGAAGAGCAAAUUCAGCUUACAAAAGACGAUCAAUGAUAAAUGUUAUGUUGCAAUGGCUAGCUCCUCAACAGGAAAGGGUUAAACUUACUAGGCAACUAGCUGGGAAACCCAAGACUUCAGUUUUCUAGGCGAUGAACUUGGUAGAUAUAUGAAAAAAGUUCGUCAGAAAUAUAUCUAUGUGUAUCUGACGUGCCACUAGUGUUUUGAUGCUUGAGAGAUGGUAUCUUAAUUGCACAGUACAGGUUAGGGGCGAGGGUGAACAGUCACCAAUAUUGACCUCGUAGUACAAGUCCUCAUUCGAGUGAACAAACUAAGGCAAUUGGCCCAUAUCUUAGCAGAAACGAAUGUGACAUGUGCAGUAAUGUGCACAUCGAGUAACAAGUGUAUAACAAAAACUGAGCCCUUCCUCACAAGAACUGGCUAUCAGAUAUACUAACUUAUUAUAUGUCACUAUUCUUGAUGUCCUUAAGAUGAAACUAUUCUUGUUGUUUCAUGGAAAAGGGAAAAACAAGGAACAAAAAUGCCAAGAAUCACGAAAGGGUUUUACUUCACAAAACCAAUGAAUUUAUACAAGUCCUUGGCAUCACAGGUGGACUGCUCAAAUACCGAAAUCAGAGAUUAAUCGUGCACACCAUUUGAAAUCAUGUAUCCAAUUUAUAUGAACAACAGAUUGCAAGCUACUGUAAUAUAAUUCACCUUUAUUGACAGAGUAACGCUUAUCAAUCUGGUUGACGACUGUUAAUGUAAACAGCGGACAGACACUCCAAUUAUCAGGCAAAUUUUCUGAAGCAGCAACAUCUAGGAAAAUUGACAAAUGAUCCUUAUUGGGAAAAACGAGUAGUCGCCUGUCCAAUACAAUUCCUUCCACAUCUUAAGUAGCUAUCGGCAGUGCAUGAUAAACAAGUUGAAGAUACGCAAAUUACCAUUUGUAGCCACCAAGAUCCACGGUCUCAGAGUACAUCUUCUUGGCCUCGAGUCUCGAGAAAUUCUCAGCUUUCCAUGUGAACAAUAAACUCUGGGGUUCAUCGUUUGCAGACCCAGUGUUUCCUGCACGAAGAAGCGAAAUUAAGAAAGGUUAGCUAAAGACAUUGAACUAAAGAAGAAAACAAUACAAGGCAUCAAUUUGAAAACUUGUUCUACUUGUUGUCAAACCGUUAAUAACAUAAAUCCCAUGUUAGGGUUUUAUGCUAAGAUGAAAUCUAAGUUCUAAUAAUGGAAUUGAGAUUACCUUCCAUUGGCAGAGAAUCUUGUGAUCAAAACUUGAUUAGAAAAAGAGCUAGCCGUCUAAUUUACGCAAUGUUCUUGUUUGUUUCUCCUUUUUUACCUAUCUGGACUUGAUGUACAAGCUCUCGGCCUUUUUUUUAAUAAAUAUUAAAUUAGAGUUUGACUUCACUCCAAAUUAGUUCUUUUCUUUCCUUCUUCUACUACAAAUCACUUUGCUUCCUACUCCAUUCAUUUGCAUAGUAAAAACCAAAUAAAAGAAUACUCCAUUGCUUUUCUUCUUGUGAGGGAACGGUUUCACCGUCUGCAAAUUCUGAUUCUAAAUUUGUAAAGAAUGUCUCAACCUCUGCACUCUUUGGACAGAUUUGGGUAAGGUUACAUCUGGUCUGUAACUAGGACAACUUGUAAAGGAAAAAGUAGGGCAAUAAACAAGUACUACUUCCCUAUCUCACUUUUUAUUUUUUUAUUCGAAAUUUAUCAUUGAAAACUGGAAAAUUUAGCAGGUUUCCAUUGGUAGAUUCUAUCUUAUGUUGUUGUAGAGAUGAUGAGCAGUAUAAAAGAUGGCUGCAUUAUGUCUAAGGGUUAUGUAAAAGCAAUUUAUGUAAUUAAGAAUUGUCACAAGUGCCUUCUCAUGCUCUUCAUGGGUUAUCUUUCUAAGGUUUUAAACAAUGUUAAACCAUGACCAGAUUUCAUCCAUUUGCCAAUGACCUGCUGAUCAUAUAUAGGCAAAAGCAAAAAGCUACAAAGAUUAAGAUGAACCAGUAGCAAGGGAAUAUAAAAUAACUAAAGAAUAGAGAAGCAGAGCAGAGAUUUGAUGAGGAAUUAUUAAGACCCUUGAAACAGAUGAAAAAAAAAUCCACAAAGUGAAUCAUUUAUCUAUCUUAACAUCACCAAUAUUCAAAUUUAACACCUCUAAGUUAGAACUCUUGAUUCUAUUAAUUGAGUUGUGAUAUCUUUGAAAAACUUGACCAAUUUAAGAUGGCAAUCAUGUUACCAUCCUUACAUGCUUAGGCCUUUCUGCUUAAAAAUCUAUAGUUAAAUAUUUCAUUCUCUUAUUUUUACUAUACAUUCUUUUCUUGAAACAUUUUAUUUACUCAUAGAUUAUUACAACAAUUAUCUUUAUUUAUUCCUAUUUUUCAAGGAUGUAGGUAUGUUUAAAGCUCUAGGUCAAAUGGACAUGGUUGUCCUCCCCUUCAUUGAGUUUAAACAAAAAAAUUUGAUGAAGGAAAAUGAGAGAGAGAAAAUUAGUGUCAAGCUCGAGCUUGACUCAAUUGAAAAACUCGACGCUCGAGCUCAAUCGAAUUUUAUUUUCUCAUGGUCAAGCUUGAUAUUAAAAGCUACAGGAUCUAUUUAAGGAAGUAUGAGUUACUGGCUGUAAUGAAGAACAGAGUACUAGCAAUGGACAUGUAAUUUAAUUAUAGGCUUGGAUUGUAGUUUUACUAGUUACUGUUACUAUGACACUGUAAUUAGUUAAAAGCUAGUAAAAGUUAGUUUUUAAUUGUUUCUAGAGUUAGUUAGAGUUAGUUAGUUGUUAGUAUAAAUACAUCUUGUACUGACUGAUUCAAAAUGUGAAAAUCAUUUUUUCCUCUCAACUGUCUCUCGAAGCUCUCUCUCUCAGCUUGUAUGACAUUUCUGCUGAUUUUAUCAUGGUAUCAAAGCAUUCGGUUAGGGAUUUUGAAACUCUCAUUAUUUUGAAGAUCUUGUUAACUUGUUUCUGAUUUCCAAUAGAUCUAGCAUUGAUUCUUGAUGAAAUUUGUCUGUUGAUUCUUGCUAAUCAUUCUUGAAAUUUCUGAGUUCAUGAUGGAUGAAAUACAGUUGUAAGACCUGUUAUUUAUCCAGUUCAAGAUCCAUUAUCACUUUAUUUUUUACACCAUUCUGAUUAUCCUGGAUCAGUUGUCAUUACCCCUAAACUAAGCACAACAAACUAUGUUUCAUGGAGUAGAUCGCUUCUUUUAGCAAUUUCGAUUAGGAACAAGUUAGGGUUCCUAAAUGGAAGUAUUGCUAAACCAGCUAUGACAGAUUCAUUAUUUGAUUCAUGGACAAGGUGCAAUAAUUUAAUCGUAGCCUAGUUAUUAGAGUCAAUAACUCCUCUUGUGGCUUCUACUGUGUUCUACAUGGACUCUGUUGUAGAAAUUUGGAGUACUCUAAAGCAAAACUUCUCACAACUUGAUGACACAAGGAUAUGUAACCUGCAAUUUACUUUAGGAAAUGUGUCUCAAGGAACAAGAUCAGUAAAUGCAUAUUUCAUUGAAUUAAAGGGGAUUUGGGAAGAGAUGAGGAACUACAGACCACUGCCACAAUGUGAAUGUGGAAAAUGCAAUUUUAAUUGCUUUAAAAGGUAUUCAAAUCAAUACCAGAAGGAUAUGGUAUUUAAGUUUCUAAAUGGUUUGAAUGAUUCUUACUUUGCUAUAAGGUCAUAAAUAAUUUUACUGGAUCUUAUUCCUACUUUGGAUAAGGUAUAUAGUAUGGUGUUGACCGAAAAAGCACAAAGAAAUCUACUGAUACAAGGUCAACCAGUGUUAGACUCUUCUGCUAUGGCUGUUGCAACAGAUGACAAGAAAAAGUUCAAGAAAGAUGUCAUUUGUUCUCAUUGCAAUAAGAAAGGCCAUUUAAAAGAAAAAUGUUUCCGAUUGAUAGGCUUUCCUGAAGAUUUCAAGUUCAAUAAAGGAAGAAAUGCAUACAAGAGAGACAAGGCAGCAAAUAAUGCUACACUUAUUGAAGGGAAACAAUCUGUUAUGGAGGGAAAACAGCUUGCACAAGAUGAUGAGGUUGUUGGAAAUAUCUCCAUGUUCCAGAUGUCACUCAUUCAGCAGCAAGUCAGCAAGCUGAUGAAUCUCCUAAAUGAAAGUGGCAUUAACAUUGAUGAUGGUAAAGAAAAUCCUACUGCCACUCAACAAAGCAAACAUUCUCUGGUCAAUUCUACAUUUGCAGAUAUCAUUUCUGGUCUCAUUUGCUUCAGUAAUUCUAAUAAUCUUCCUUCCAAAUAUUGAAAUGUGAAUGCUUCCAUGAUUGAAUAUAAUUCUUAGAUAGUAGAUACAGGGGCAACUGAUCAUAUUUCUUAUACUUUGAACAAUUGGUUUCUGCUAAGCCUGUGUCUAAUUGUUUUAUGCAACUUCCAAAUAAGGCUAGAGCUUUAGUUUCUUACAUUGGGACUGUCAAACUUACCUCAUCUCUCACCUUGAAUAAUGUCUUGUGUGUACCUAGCUUUAAGUUUAAUCUUCUUUUUGUGAGUAAGCUUACUAGUUCAAAAACAAAUUGUGUCUGGUUUAUUGAUGAAAUAUGUGUUGUCCAGGACCUGAAUUCAUACAAGGUGACUGGGGUAGCUAAAGUCACUGCAGGUUUAUACUUCAUGCAAGUUAAUGAGGAUGACCAAGAUCUGUCCAAGUAUAGUUUCAAUAAAAUCAUUGAUUUUGCCAAUGUAACUUCAGUUUUAGCCUAGUUACACCUUCCAACUUUGAUUUGUGGCAUUUUAGAUUAGGUCAUGCACCUUCAGAAAGAAUAGAUGUAAUUCAUGAACAUUGUCCAGAAGUUCAAGGUUCAAAAAAUUUGAUUUGUGAAGUUUGCCCUAUGGCCAAACAAAGAAAAACUCCAUUUCCUGUUCAUGUGCAAACCACUUUUAAUCCAUUUGAAAUUGUGCAUGCUGAUAUAUGGGGUCCUUAUGCGAUACAUACUAUUUCUAAUCAAAGGUUUUUUCUUACUCUUGUGGAUGAUUUUACACGUUUCACAUGGGUGUUUUUGAUGAAAUCCAAAUCGGAUGUUUCAACCAUUAUCUCCAACUUUCAUAAUUUUGUCAAAACUUAGUUUAAUACUUGCAUAAAAGUUUUGAGGACAGAUAAUGGUAAAGAAUUUGAUUUAUUGAAUUCUAUGCCAGGACAGGUAUUGUUCAUCAUCUUACAUGUGUUGAAACUCCUCAGCAAAAUGAUCGGGUAGAAAAGAAGCAUCAACAUAUUUUAGUAGUAGCUAAAGCCUUACUACAUUAGUCUCAUGUUCCACUUCACUUUUAGGGUCAUGUUGUCCUUACUAUCAUUCAUAUUAUCAAUAGAAUGCCAAGCAAAAUUCUCAAUAAUUUUACUCCAUAUGAGCUUCUUUAUAGGAAAUCUCCAUCUUAUGCUCAUCUUCGAGUGUUUGGUAGCCUAUGUUUUGUUUCUACUCUUAGUCAACAUAGAAAGAAAUUUGAUCCAAAGGCUAGUAAAUGUAUAUUUUUAGGUUAUCCUUAUGGUGUCAAAGGUUAUAAGGUGUAUGAUCUUCUUGCCAACAAUAUUCUAAUAUCCAAGAAUGUAGUCUUUCAUGAACAUGUAUUUCCAUUUCAAUCAUUGGGGGCCAAUUCCUAUGAUCAUGCAUUCUAUCAAACACCUCAUGUGCAUGACACAAAUUUUGAUUUUUUGGAUGCUGUACCUACUUCAUUUCCAUCUUCCACAUUUCCAUCUACUUCUACACCUUCAUUACAAUCUCCUACAUCCUUGGAUAACACAGGAACAUCAAAUUUAGUUGAUUUUGCUGAAAAUUCUAAUGACCAGUCUAUUUCUAACAAAAUUAUUGACCCUGUAGUUGACUUUUCUGAUUCAACAUUUAAUGACAAUACUUCCAAUCCUAUUACAUCUAUCCAACCUAGAAGAAGUGACAGACAUAGAAAACUACCUAAGUAUCUUGAAGUUUAUCAUGUUGAUAUUCUUAAUUCUUCAAAUUCUAUCACUUCUCAUCCAAUUACUCAUUUCUUAUCUACUACUCAAUUAUCCCCUACACAUAAAGCCUUUACUGCUUCAUUAUCACAUAUUCAUGAACCUAGUACUUAUCAUCAAGUUGUUGAACAUGCUCGUUGGAGAAAGGCUAUGGUUGUUGAACUAGAAACUUUAGAGGAUAAUGGCACAUGGAGCAUAAUUCCUCUACCCACUAAUUCUAGUUCCAUUGGCUCUAAAUGGAUUUAUAAGGUCAAAAUGAAAGCAGAUGGUACUAUAGAAAGGUUCAAGGCUCGCUUGGUUGUCAAAAGUUACAGUCAAGUUGAGGGUUUCGAUUAUCAGGAGACAUUUAGUCCUGUUGCAAGGCAAUCUACUGUCCGAGUGUUUCUAGCAUUAGCAACUACAAAAGGAGGGUGUUUAACUCAGCUAGAUAUCAACAAUGCUUUCCUUAAUGGGGAUCUUGAUGAAGAAGUGUAUAUGUCUUUGCCACAAGGUUAUCAAGUCCAGGGCGAGUAUCCACCUGAUACUAAGCUUGUGUGCAGACUGCAUAGGUCUUUGUAUGGCUUGAAAUAGGCUUCAAGACAAUGGAAUGAAAAGUUUACAACAACACUGGCACAGUAUGGUUUCAAACAAUCUUUAUCAGAUUACUCAUUAUUUACCGUGAGUACAGAAACUGGUGAAUAUUCAUAGCCCUUCUCGUUUAUGUUGAUGACAUAGUCAUUGGCACAAGUUGUAAAGCCCGACCUUAUAAAAUACUAUUCAUGACAUACAUGUGAUGAUAGCAUGAUUGCAUGCUAGGAGAGUCCCGAAAAAUUUACAAAAGUCGAUAUUGUACCUAGAGGUACAACAAAGUUGAUUUAAUCCUCGAACUAGAUCAAAUAGGAAUUUUAAGGUGAAAUUAAGAGUGUCACAGUCCAAGGAUAACUUAAAAUGGUAAUUCGGAGUUUGAGGAUCAAUUUGGAGUCAAACAGGAAUUUUUACCAUCUAGGGGCAAAAUGAUCAUUUGCCACCUGGAGACAAAAUGGUAAUUUUAGAAAAGAUUUAUUUGUCCCCAUUUGACUUAUUGGAGUAUAAUUUGACUUAUUGGAGUAUGAUUUGAGGCUUAGAAGUGAAAAAUUUUAAUUUCGGUAUAAUUUAGAGUAAAAAGGUAAAAUGAUAAUUUUGCCACCCCAAGGGCAAAAUUGUAAUUUUCCACCAUCAGGACAUUUUUUCCAGCACAUGGUCUUCCUUUAUCUUCAUCUUUGACCCUUGACUAAUCAUGUAGUGGAGAUAAAAUGUUUAAAAAGUUUUAAAAUGAACCAAUAAGAAAAUGCCAUGUAUCAAGCUUAGGAUAUUUUAUUAUUUAACUAAAAAAUCGGCAUAAAUCAGCCCAUUACUCUCCAAAUAUUCGGCCAAGCAAGGAAGAGAGAGAAAGAGAGGAAGAACAAACCCUAGGUGAGGAAUUUCAAGAGAAAAAGUGUGGAAAAUCAAGGAAAACAAGUGAAAAAGGUAGGAUUUUUCAACUUAAGCUUGAAAUCCAUUUUCCUUAAGCAUUUCUCCUUAUUUUNNNNNNNNNNNNNNNNNNNNNNNNNNNNNNNNNNNNNNNNNNNNNNNNNNNNNNNNNNNNNNNNNNNNNNNNNNNNNNNNNNNNNNNNNNNNNNNNNNNNNNNNNNNNNNNNNNNNNNNNNNNNNNNNNNNNNNNNNNNNNNNNNNNNNNNNNNNNNNNNNNNNNNNNNNNNNNNNNNNNNNNNNNNNNNNNNNNNNNNNNNNNNNNNNNNNNNNNNNNNNNNNNNNNNNNNNNNNNNNNNNNNNNNNNNNNNNUUUCAGAGCAAAAAUAGGAAUUUUUACCCAUUAGGGGUAUUUUCGUAAUUUACUAUCGAGAUUGAUAAUUUGCACCACACUAAGGGACAUUAAGUCAAUUUGGGUGCAAUUGAGGUAUAGAAACUGAAAAAAAUUAAUUUGGGAUUAAAUUGGAGGCGUUAGUAAUUUAAUCGGGUGAUAAGACAAAUUAGGCCAAUACCGAGUUUAGAUAGUUAUCAGUGCAUUUUUGCAUUCCAUAUUAUGCAUUAAUAGUCUAAAUUAGUUUAAUUUCAAUUUAGUACCAAUGUAGUGAAUUUCUCGAUUUUGUACUGUGUCAAGGUGGUGAGUCCUCCGAUAAAGGCAAAGAAAUUGCAUCCGAGGACCAGUAGACAGAGUGCGUCAAAAGUCUGCAUUCUAGACAUUGUGAGUAAACUUACUGUCAUUUUAAUUAUCUAGGGUGGUUUUUAGAUGAUUUCAUGAAUUCUAUGGAAAAAGGAAUUUAAAAAGGAAAAUUUUCAUGUUUUAUGAAUAAAUGUAUUUCAAUGAAAUUAAAUUAUAAAUUGUUUUGAAAUUAAUAGUGAUUUUGAAAAAUAGAGUACACGAAGACUGUUAAUUGUGGCAAUUUGAUUGUUUAAAUUGAUUGGCUCAUGAUAAAUCGGGUAUGAUUGGCUAGUUGGCAAUUGCAUUGAAAUGCGAAUUAUUUGAUUGCCUUGAAAGACUGUGAAUUACAAAAUUGCCAUAUCAUGUUAUUGAGUUUUAUUGUAUGGUGGAUUAUAUAUAUUAAUUAAUUACUGCAGUAGGGGGUUUCUAUGGACCAGCCUUUUAGAAGGGCACAGUAAACCCCAUUAUAUUCUUACCUCAAACGGAGAGGCGCGUAGGGUAUCUCCUAGGGUAAAGUUUAGAGUUCACUUCACACUAAACCACCACGUGAGGGGGAACUCAGCCAACGCCAAGGAAUGGCUAUGUUUUCUAAACAAAAAUAUGAUUUAUGUGAAAUGUGAAUUUUAAUAGCCUUGGCGGUCUUGGUAGGAUGCCUCGACCAAGGUGUCCCCGAGAAUGAAUUUAUGGCACAAGCCUAAUUUUUAUGAGAUUCAUAAGCCUCUUUACAUAUUUUAAAUGAAAUGUAUUCUUAUGCUGUGACCCAGUUUACGAUGAUUUAUUUUAUUGUCUCCAUGUACUCAACUCUAUAUAUUUAUGAUGAUGUCUAUUUACUCAUUGAGAUUUUAUAAUCUCACCACCCUCCUUUCCACCCAUUUCAGGUUCAGUAUAGGCUGUAGAUAGCUGAUCUCAUCGAGGACUACCAUUGGAUCUGCAUUUUUCAAACCGUAAGUUCACAGUCCUCUUUACUUUUGUUCAUUCGGGGGCCCUCUUGUUAUUGUAAAUUAAAUUAAAUAUUUUGGCUUACUGUAUUACAAUAUGUAUAAAUUUAUUUAGCUUUUACGCUCUAAAAAAAUUAUUCACGUAUAACUUUAUAAAUAUUGUUUUAUAAGAAAAUAGAAUAUUUUACUUAAUAUUUCCUUUAUUUUCUUAUUAUAUUCAAAUAACCAUAAUUUCGUUUUAAAUGAAGAUUUUAGACUUUUAAACUCAUUUUGAUUAUGAAUUAUGUCUUUUGUACUUGUAUAUUACAUUUUAGCCAGUUUCAAAAUUUUUGAGAAAAAUGACCAAAAUAUCUCUGUGAGACGAAAAUUAAUAUUUUAUUUGUUUUAAGUUGGAAACGACUUAAAAUCUUUUAGAACACAAUAUUUGACAAUGGUUGCUCACAAUGGAACAAAGAAACUAAUAGUAAAGCCUUGCGGGGUUUCGGGUUGACAUUCCGGGCAAUGAGUGUCUACUGGGAUACCGCGACAAUUGUCACGGGCUCGAGGGGAGUACCGGGUCGUGACACAAGCUCUCCUCAGUUAGCAAACAAUGUUAAAGAAUAUCUAAGUUCUCACUUCAAAUUGAAGGACCUUGGAGAAGUUGAACAUUUCCUAGGAUUGGAAGUAGCCAGAUCAGUAAAAGGCUUUUCUAUUUGUCAAAGGAAAUAUGUCUUAGAUAUGUUGGAUGAGCAUGGUUUUCUGGGAGCAAAGCCAGUAUCAACACCAAUAGAUUAUAACCAUAAACUUGAAAAGGCAACAGAUGAAGAACAAUUAAACAAUGUUCCUGUUUAUCAUCAACUCAUUGGAAAACUAUUAUACUUAACCUUCACAAGGCCAAAGAUAUCCUAUGCUAUUCAAACGCUUUCUCAGUUUAUGGAUAAGCCAGGGCACAUUCAUCUCAUGGCAACCUAUAGAGUACUAAAGUACUUAAAAGGUUCACCAAGACAAGGAAUUCUUUUGAAAUCAAAAUCUAAUUUGCAACUGAUUGCAUAUUCAAAUAGUGAUUAGGCUGAUUGUCCAAAUACAUGAAGAUCCAUAACAGGAUUCUGUGUUUUUAUUGGUGAAUCACUAGUAAGCUGGAAGUCUAAGAAGCAAUCAGUUGUUGCUAAGAGUUUUGCAGAAGCAGAGUACCAUUCUAUGGCUGCAGCCUGCUGUGAAGUAAUGUGGUUGAAAUCUCUACUUUCUGAUUUUGGAAUUGAACAUUCUACAUCCAUAAAGCUCUACACAGAUAGUCAAUCAGGUAUUCAUAUAUGUAAAAAUCCAAUUUUACAUUAGCGAACAAAACAUAUUGAGAUGGAUGUUCAUUUCAUUCGUGAUAAAGUGAAAUAUGGAUUGAUUAGUUCUAUUCAUGUCUCGACAACAUUACAGGUUGCAGAUAUAUUCAUAAAGGCUUUACAACCAAAGGUUUUCCAGAGACUUCUUAAUGAGAUGAAUGUGCAUACUAUACACAAUUCAUCUUGAGGGGGAGUAUUAGAAGCUGCAGGAUCUAUUUAAGGAAGUAUGGGUUACUGGCUGUAUUGAAGAACAGAGUACUAGCAGUGCACAUGUAAUUUAAUUAUAGGCUUGGAUUAUUGUUUUACUAGUUACUGUUACUAUGGCACUAUAAUUAGUUAAAAGCUAGUAAAAGUUAGUUGUUAGUUGUUUCCAGAGUUAGUUAGAGUUAGUUAGCUGUUAGUAUAAAUACAUUUUGUAUUGACUGAUUUAGAGUGUAAAAAUCAUUUUUUCCUCUCAACUGUCUCUCGAAGCUCUUUCUCUCUCUAAGCUUGUAUGACAUUUCUACUAAUUUUAUCAUUUGACUCAAGAAAAAAUGAAGCUAUUUGAGGUUGACUCAAUUAUCAUUAAUUUCUAUAGAGACUUCGAAACUCAACUCAAGUUUGAAUUCAGAAUAAAAAUUACAGUGAAACUUUAAAAUAUGCAAAUAGCUAUCAUAGUUUAUUGAUAAAAGUAUAAAAUAUUAAAAAAAAGCUUGACAAAACUUACACGCUACUAAAGGUCGGCUUGACAAUUAACAACUCGAUUUCAAGUAUCAUCGAGUUAAGUCAAAGUAGAUUAAGUGUAGAUCAUCGUGAGUUUGAUUUUGGUAAGUUUUAAGUUAAUGAUUUUUUUGUGGUCAACACUAAGUUGAGUCGAAUUUAGUUUGGAUGGGUCUUUCAUAUUGGGUUAAGCUUGGCUAAGUCUGCUUUUAGUCAAUUUAGAUUUUGGAUUCAACUAUUUUUGCUUAUCUUUUUCAAGUCAAUAUUGUUAGAUUUUGCGUUGAAUUUCAAACCAAUAACUUAAUCAUAAAUUGGGUCGGUUUAGAUUUUUCUUAGAUGGUUACAACUUAAAAGUUCCAUUCACAAAAUAUGAUUUUAUAAGAUGGAAAAAAUUUCUCUUAUUAUUUAAUUCAAUAUUAAAUGUACAAUUAAUGCUUCUAGCAAAAAAAAAAUUACUGCAUGUCUUUUUAUUUGUCCAUAUAUGACUUUUAAAAAAUUUAAGAUAGACUGUUGGAGGAUUGUAGAGUUCACUCAGAGGCAUGAAGCAAUUGAAACCAAAUUCCAAAUCCUUUGCAAAAAGGUCCAAGACCAACCAAAAUAUCAAACCAGAUCCAUCUCAAUAAAAGGAUAGGGCUUAGACAAACCAUCCUGUUCAAAGCCUUAACAAGCAAAUAUCUUUAGCUUAGCUCUAGACCUCUUUACCCAAUGUUCUUGUUUCCUCCCCUUUUUAUACCUAUCCAGAGUUGAUGUACAAGCUUCUAGUUUAGCCGUACAAGUUUUUUUUUUUUAAUAAAUUUUAAAUAGAGCUUGACUUCAGUUUAAACAAUUCUUUUCUUAGUUUCCUUUUUCUACUACGUAUCACCUUGCUUCCUACUCCAUUCAUUUGCAUAGCAAAAACCAAAUAUUAAAAAACUCCAUUACUUUUCUUCUUUGGCAGAAAUUGAUCCAUCAAAUUUUCCUUUUCAAGAAAACACCAAGAAAAAGCUUGAAAUGAUAGGUACGAACAACAAAGUCGAUAGUUGUGACAAUAUGGGGAGUCUUGAUAAUGAGAGAAUUUUUUAGAAACGUCAAAUUGUUCCUGAACAAAUAUCUACAGUAAUCUCUAAGCAGAAUCUUGGUAAUAAAGUCUUUUCUAGCCAAAGACUGAAUAUGAAACUUGAGCAUGUUAUCUUCCAAAAGACAAUGCGUUGAAGCCUUUAGGAGAGGAUGCUUAUUUUAUUUGCAAUGAGGAACAAACUUUGGUGUUGCUGAUGGUGUUGGAGGAUGGGCAGCCAAGGGCGUGGAUGCAGGAGAAUAUGCUCGGCAACUGAUGGCUAACGCCAUCAUAGCUGUUUAUGAAGAGCAUAAGCUUAAGGGAAAUGUUGAUCUUGGGAAGAGUCUUGCAUACAGUCCUUAUCAAUUGGGGAAUAGCGAUUAGUGAUGGACUUGAUAUGGCAAUGAAGUUAUUUGUAAGGGUGGAGGCAGGGGACAUAGUCCUCCAAGUGCGAAACAAAGGAACGAAACAGAAAUGUUUGUCCAGAGAAAGAUAAUUGAUAACAGGGUAUGCGUUGCACAACUCGUUCGACAAGUUCGCAUUCUCUCCAUUCACAAAAGCUGCAAAGAAGGCAGUACUGAAUCGUAUGGGAGGCAAGGUAGAUGACAUUACAGCUGUUGUAGGAAUCAUUCAAUUUUAAGAGGAUGCAGUUGGACUGCUUUCAUCCGUCUCAUUCUCUUGUAUCAUGGCUUCAUUAGCUACUACCUUUUCGUUUUGUACAAGUACUACAAUUGAUACCUGAAACCAAUAACAGAAUAUGUUUUAUUUUCGAAUCACAUGUUAAACGGUUAAUACUGAAAAGAUGGGAAAGAGUUUUAAUCUUCCGAGAGAAACAUGAAUGUCAAUUUUGUAGGAUUGCUAAAAAAUUAUAACAAACCCUGGAAGCUGCGUGGAAUUGAUAAGAAAGCAAUAAAGUGGAAGAGAAGAUGAGAGUAAGUUGAAUGUUUUUUGAAUUCGGCUCCUCUCCAGGUAUGAAUAUCUGCUUAAUUGGAGAAAUUCUCUGUAAUCAACAACUAUAGCUGGAGACCCAUGUUAAAGGUUUACUCAAUCCUAUUCUUUACAUCUUGUGAAGGACAGUUUUACUGACUGCAAAUUCAGAUUCUAAUUAUCCAGCAAGUUGUAUGAUUAGUUUGUCCUCUUUUAUAGUGUCAGCAAAACCAGAACUUUAGUAUGGCGCUAUAGACCACUCGACCAUCCCAACACGCUAUUCAUGAGUUAUCUUCCUAAGGUUUUAAAGAAUGUCAAACCAUGACCAGAUUUCAUGCACUUGCCAGUGACCUCCUGAUCAUAUAUAGGCAAAACCAAAAAGCUACAAAGACUAAGAUGAACCAGCAGCAAGGGAAUAUCGGUUAACUAUAGAAUAGAGAAGCAGAACAGAGAUUCGAUGAGGAAUUAUGAAGAUCCUUGAAACAGAUGAAAAAUAAAUUCACAAAAUGAAUCAUUUAUCUAUCUUAACAUCAUCAGAAUUCAAAUUUAAUACCUCUAAGUUAAGGUGUGAUCUCUUUGGAAAACAUGACCUGUUUAAGAUAACAAUCAUGUUACCAUCCUUGCAUAUUUAGACCUUUCUGCUUAUAAAUCCAUAGUUAAAUAUUUCAUUCUCUUAUUUUUACUAUACAUUUUUUUCUUGAGACAUUUUAUUCACUCGUAGAUUACUACAACAAUUAUCUUUAUUUAUUCCUAUUUUUCAAGGAUGUAGGUAUGUUUAAAGCUAUAGGCCAAAUAGACAUGGGAUAUCCUCCCCUUCAUUGAGUUUAAACAAGAAAAUUUGAUGAAGGGAAAGGAGAGAGAGAGAAAACGAAACAGGGAAUUUCCUCAGCUAAAUAUGAACUUGUUCAAACGAUUACAUCAUGCACAUCCACCAAAUAUAUUAUAGAAAGACUUGCUCAAAAUACCAUUCUACAACAGCUAAUUUGUUCUCUUUAAAUCUUUCCUUUGAGAGAAGAGAUGAAGCCUUUCAUUCUUCCCCAUUCUGCCUCGACACUUUUCUCCUCCUCCUCAGCAACCUUGGCCUUGGCCACAUACUCUGGCCAUUCCUUUCCCAAUGCAUUCAGCUGCGCUUUCAAGUCCUGGGAAAUUUUGAAAAUUUCCUUCCGCUCAGCCAAGAUAUUCUCUUUAUUCUUUUGUGCCUCAGCAACUUGCUCAUGGAGGGCAGCAAGUUUUUGCUCUACCUGUUUCGCCUCUGCCUUGGCCUCUUUAAAUUUGAUUAGACUAUCCUCUAAAUUACGAGUAAGUGCCAGCUUGACAGAUUCCUUCUCACUAAGGAGAUUCUUGUCCUGCACUGCUUUCACUACUCGCUCAGGUAGUUGUUUAAAGUUCUCCUCCAUGGCCAACAACUCAUCUUUUAGCUCAAUCGUAAAGGUAGAGGAACAAUCAACACUAGAUAGGACCUUGAAAGCCUUCUUAAGUGAAGAAAUCAUCCCUGAAUCAUAAAAGUUAGCUGGGGCCAUAUUCAGGGCUUCAUCUAUGUUGACCAGAGCUUCCUUUGCUUCUUCUUGAGAAGAAACAAUGUUACUUCUUGCGAGCUCAGACUCUAAGCUAGUAAAGAAUGUGUCCAUAUCUUCCUCAGUAGGGUCUUCAGGUUCAAUGGUCUGAAAUAAAGGGAAAGAAAGUAAUAAUAGAGAUACAAAAGAUGUAUAAAAUAUUUACAAUUAACUUGGCUGACUUACCUCACUCUGGGAAGAAGACUGAUCCGCAGUUGGCAAUUUUUGAUUGGUAGAUUCUGCCUCAUCCUGUCCUGGAGAAGACAGAACCGCAGGAGCUGAAAGGAUAGCUGAUGACUGAGUGGUGAUUUCCUCUGGUUUGACUAUUGUAGGUUUUUGGUUGUCUAUGGCUGCUUCACCGUGAUCAGCUUCCUUGCUCUUGAGUUUAUCAGAAGCAGUUUCAAGUUCAACUAUCAAUGCAUCUGACAGCAAAUCAAUAGUCCUAUCGGUGGCAAUGUAAGCUUCAACUAAGCAUGCAUCAUUCACGAGAUAGCCUCUCUUAGGGUCGAGUAAUUCAUCGAGAGGCAUGAAUGAAGUGAAGCCCCAAUCAUUCUCCUUUGCAUUAAACUCAUGAUUAGUGACUGCCAAAAGCAAAGAGUAUCAAUUAUCAACAACCAUUUGUGUAAACAAUCUGAUGACAAACUCAAAGAAGAAAAAGGCAUGGAAUAGCAUAUUCGGCAUCUGGUCUUUGCAUGUUUCGACCAUGCCCAAAGCCUCAAACAAAGCCCAUCUUUCAAGCAUUUACCACCUGAGCCAGGGCCCAGGAUCAUAGACAAAAAAUAAAUAUUGAGCCCCAAACAGAUAAAUUCAAAGUAGUGAAAAUAAGAGGAACCAUUCCAUUAGCCAAGGAAUAGAAAUUAGAACAGAAAACAAAGAUAGUGAUAGGAAGUUGUGUUCUUUAAAGAAGAUUCCCCGACUUCUUUCCUAAAGCUUUGACGGAAGGAAAAGAAGAUGCAGAGAGGGGAAACGGCAAUAAGUGAAGUUGUUUGGACUUGGGGGAGAGUGCUAGAAGGAAAUACCUUUUGUAAUCGAAGUUUUAGGAUCAGUUUGGUUGAUGACAGAUAAUCUGAAUUGGGCAUAUCUACUCCAGCCAGGAGGCAAAGUUGCUGAAUCUGCAGCAUCUACAUAAAUUGAAAUAUGAUCCACCUUGUUCCCCUUUGGGAAGACAAGAAGUUGCCUGCCAAACAAAAUUGCAAGUCUCAGUGAUAGAGAAAUGCAACUUGAAAUAUUACCGAAUCCUUAGAAUUACCAUUUGUUGCCACCAACAUGGAAGAUGUCAGAGUAGAGCUUGUUGCAUUUAAUACAGGAGAAAUUCUCAAUCCUCCAUGUGAACUUUCUCACUUGUUGACUUCCCAUAGACUGAGACUCACUUCUAUCCACUGCACUCAAAAACAAAAAGAAGGAAACAUGGAGGAGAAGAAUUAAAGAGUAAAAGGUGAAGCUAUUUAUGAAUACCUUCCAUUAUGAGAUGAUCUGCUGAUAAAAACUACUAUGCUGGAGAAGGUAGAGUGGAAGCUCUAGAGUUGAAAUACUUUAUUUAUACAACUUCGCCUUUAAGCUAUCUUUGUUAUCACUUGAACCACAUCCCUAUAUGUUUUUGAAUAAAGUAAAUAUAAUUUGACUUGGUCUUCCUUUUCAAUUUAAUAAUUACUUCCACUACUUGGCCUUGAAGUUGUCUUUCUUUCCUGGCAAUUCAUGGUACUGCACCUUCACAACCACUUCUUGUCUAUAUCAUAAAAAUAGAAAUCCAAAAUAUUAAGAAAAAAUAAAUUUUAUUUAAUUGAUACUUAUUUUUUAUAUCAUAUAAUAUUAAUAUAUUACAAUAAUAAAUAAUAACGUGAUACGUUGAUAAUUGCAUAUGAUUAAAUGAUUAUAUAAUAUUUUUAUUUUUUUAUAAGUGUCACGUUAAUACCAUGUGACAUAAAAAAUGAUAUAUGACGUUUAAUCAAAAUUGUUAAUUAUAAAUAACUAUUUGAUUUAAAAUAAAAAUAUAAAAAUUUAAUUAAAUAUAAUAAAAAGUAAAAACUUAUAAUUUUAGAAUUUUUUUAAAACAUUAUUCUUUUUACUUUUAUACAAAUAUAUAAUAAAUGAUGUCUUUGCACAAAAAGCAUAGUAUUAUUCCUUUUACUUUUAUAAUUUUAGACUGCCCUUUCCUUGAGCUCUACCUCUUUCUUUAUUAUAUAAUAUUGAAAGUAAUGAUAAUUCUAAAAUUAAAUAAAAACUAAAGUUAAGAAAAUAAAAUAUAUUAAAAUAAUUAUUCAUAAAACAUUGUAAUAUAUUUUAAUAAAAUAUAUUAAAAUAAUGCAAAGAGUUUAUGUAGAAUUGACAUAAAUCGCUUGGGAAGAGCUUCUUCCUCGUGCAAAAGUUUAACAAGAAAAAUAAUAAACAACAAUAGGAGUGAGAGUUAAAAAGCAAAUUCAGCUUACGAAAGACGAUCAAUGAUAAAUGCUAUGUUGCAAUGGCUAGCUCCUCAACGGGAAAGGGUUAAACUUACUAAGCUCUAGCUAGGAAACCCAAGACUUCAGUUUUCUAAGCGAUGAACUUAAUAGAUAUUGUUGGGAUUCGACCUCAUACUCAAACAUGAAAAUAAUCAAGAAAUUAAAAAAUAUAACACAGCAGAAUAAUAAGCUAGCAUUUAAUCAGAGAAACAGUUGAAUCCUACAGAAUCAAUAUUUGUGUUUUUCUUGUAACUUUUAAAUUAAUUAUGAACAGUCAUAAGUAUAAUAGUUACAUACUAUCACAACCCAAUUCUCGGGCCAUAACCGACGCAAAGGCCCAAUAGGCACAGCCCACUAGACCCUAGCAAGCCUUUCUAUAUGAACUUAUACAUUAGUCCAUCUAUCAUCCAUAUUUCUUUAAGAUCUAUACUUCAUAAUGUUCAAAUGAUAAAUUUCUUCGAAAACAAUUCAUAAAACACAAGUAUAUACUCAUAAUGGCAUCAUCAAUCAAAAUAUACAUAAUAGUUUGCCAAAUGAAUCUUAACAAUUCACAUUAAACAUACAUGUAGAUAUACAAAGACCAUGAUUGUCAGUGGAGUGACUCUGGGCGUGGGUGCUAACAUUUAGUGUCAUGGCAAACCUAUUGAAAAAUGGAUAAAAAUGAGCACCUCGACCUAGGACCCAAUCACCUCCAAUUCAGAAAACCUAAAACACGAAGUUAAAAGGAAUGAACAUAAACCCAGUGAAUGAACAUAGGAAGGGAACAAGCAUACGAUACGGAAAGUUUUUAAAAAAAAAACACAAUCCACUUUUGUUAAAAACAACAAUGCAAUAUAAUGUAAUUUCUUGUUAAAACCCCUCAAUUCAGCCCUUGAAUAGUUAAUCCUUUAGUGUUGAAGAAUUCAUGAUCAACAAUGAAAUUAAAAAGUGAAAACUACAACACUCCAAACAAGGUAAAAAGUUUCUCACCAUCGCGAAAAUCAAUUUGGUUGCAACGACAACAGUGACUUCCAAGACAGAAAGUUUCUCACUGCGGCAAAAAUCAAUAUGGUUGCGGCGAGAACAGUGCAAAUGGAGUUAAGAGGAUUUUCGCUACGGCGAAAAUCCAUUCUUACUGCAGUGAAAAAUGAGGUUGUUUGCAAUGUACUUAUUUAGGUUCAGUUUAUGUUUGCUCACCCCUAGUACAAUUUAUAUAUAUCAUAAACAAACCCGGCGCUAUGUUGUCUUUUAACUCAUUAUAGAAACAUUUGACAAUUUCAAUUUUCAACAUUCAAGGCAAUCACAUAUCCUUUCCCUAACCUCUUUAUAGUAUGUCUUAACACGUAUACAACCACCGGCUCAACCCAGCUCAUGUACACUCCCACACCGCACAUAACUAAUGUCAUCAUGUGCACUCCCACACCGCACAAGGCAAUAUCAUCAUGCGCACUCCCACAUCGCACCUCACCAUCAUCAUCAUGUGCAUUCUCACACCGCACACGCACAGUUGUAGUUAUCAUGCAAUGUUGCCUUUCAAGGCAUAACAUAUAUGUCAACAUGUAAACAAAAAUCUUUACACAUUAAUACUUUUCACAUAAUUUAUUGUUUUAGCCAUACGCUUAGUUACACAAUCCUAUUUUCUAAGGAACUAAUAUUGACCUUCAUACAGCUAUUUGUCACAUCCCAAAAUCAUCAUUAUGUCAUACACCACAAUUCACUUAGUAAUUCAACACAAUGUAGGAAAUACAUGAAUUUAUCACAUCACACAUUUCACAACGUAAAGACGUUUCACCGAAGGCUUGUUCCCAUGCGUAUUUUAUAGAAAAGACAAAUAAAAUUUUUCAAGUGAUUCAUUCAAACGCAUAAGCAUUUAUCCCAAAACAUUAUAAAUGCAAGUUCACUCACCUUAAUAAUGUCACCUUACAAAUCUAGUACCCACAAGAUCCUAAUCCAAGUAAGUCCUGAAAUACCAUCAGAACCUAUGUUUACAAUUAAACCAUGACAGCCUCAAAUAAAUCAUAAAUUUGAACUUAAAAACUCUAAUAAAUAUACACUAGCUAAAUUAUAUUUGAACUAACAUUUAACUUAGAAUUCUAGUCUAAUUCACAAACCCAUUAAAUUGACUAUUCAAAUUUAAGGUUUCUUUACCUUGACGAGCUUGGAGGCAUAAAGGUCAACAAAACCUAAUAUUUUCAAGAAAAAGAAUUUGAAGAUUAGGAAAUAAAAUCUGAAAAUAUAACCCAUAAAUUCUAAAAUUUUAGAGUUGAUAAUAUAUACCUUUUGGCUUUAAAAAAAUGAAUAUCUGAAGCUAAAAAUUCAAGUGUUGAUGACGAUAGAGUAGAAAUAGAAAAUAAAAGAAAGAAAAAGAGAAUUUUUUUCUUCCUCUCUCCUAGGGUUUAGUUUUGCUGAAAAAUGGGGUUGAAAGUUGUGGGUUUGGUACCCAAGAAGGUAAAUGAAGGAAGAAGUAAGAAGAGAAAGGGAAGAAAAAGAAAAUGAAAAAAAAAUUGAUUUUCAUGGUGGAGAGAUGAAAAUGGCGUUGGGAGGGUGAAAAAGAAGAAGAAAAUGCCUUUUUGUGAAGAUAAGAAUCGGUCAUGGAAGAAGAAGAAAAGAGUCAAAGCUUCCCUUUGAAGCUUUGACCAAGCUAAGGGUAAAAUUACCAUUUAACCUUCCAAGAUUUUUCACCCUUUUUAAUGAAGUCCUCCCACAAUCUUUUAAUUCGAAUUUCUUUCUAUUUUUCUUCCUUAACACUUGUACCAAUAAAAUAUCAAGUUUAUACUUCAACGCGAUAUCACCAUAAUAUUUAAAUAUAUACUUAUCAGUGCUAGCUUUAUUUAAUAAAGACACACGAAUCCCACUAAUGUCAUUUUUCUCCGAAAUUUCCUCGUUCUUCUUCUCCCCCCGCUUAGAUUGACUAUAUACUUGUCCUUCAUGACUAAUUUUGACAUCGAAUAAGAUAUUAAUAUUUUAAUAUAAUUUUAUUAAUAAAAUAUUAUUUUAUUUCAAAAUUUUUCACUUGUCUCCUUAGUACCCAAAGUGUCUUAUUAUGCCCCGAUUCACUUUCGAAUCACUUGUUAUCUCACUAAUUCAUCCUCAAUAACGGUAUUAUUAUUAAUUAUUAUUUUCUCACUGCGAAAUGUUUUCCUCUAAAUAUUGUUUUCACCCAUCACCGUUCUUUGACACUUAAAUUCAUGUUAAUUAGCCCUUCAUCUUAUCGAUAUGGUUAUGUUGACUACUAUACGGGGGUACGAUGUAUUACACAUACCUUACUCUAGAUAUCAUAAUCAAGAGCCGAUUAAAUCCAAAAGGCUUGUGAUGGAACAAAAAACCCAAAAAGAGAAUAAGACGACCUAAAAUCCUGCAACCGAAAUCUUUGCUUCUUCACCUUUAGGAUUUCUCAAAUCUUCAGUCACCUAAGUGUUUAGCCUCUAACAAUAAUCCACAUAGUGACUGAAUAAGACCUUCUCAAAGGUAAAAUUUUACUUGUGCUAGUAAGUUUCGUUUUCAAAACAAAAAGAUCAAAAGUUCUUACCAAAUCUUAUUUUUGUAGAUAAAAAAAAACUAUUUUUCUUUUCUUAUUUCAUGAAAUGGCUGAGAAGUAGUUGAAGGCUUAGAGUUUUGGUAUAACGACCCAACCUCGGUCACUAUCGACGUUCGAGACCUUCGGGAGAUCCCGCCAAGUCCCGAACAAGCCUCUAUGAAAUUCUCAAGACAUUUAUUAAAUAUGCUCUCACGUGCAUAAGCGAUUAAUAAUAAUAGUCAUACUACUGAUAUUUCUUUUUAAAUAAUAACAAUUAAAUGUCAACCACCAAGUUUUUAACAAUACAUAUCCAUGAAUUACAAUAAUUCACAACAUCUAAAAAUCUUAUGUAACUUGACCCUAGACAGCGGAGAGACUCGGAGCUGGCUAAGAGAUGCCUUUACCUAUUCUCAGUAGACUGAACACACCGACGAGUACGCGCUAGGCUAAUCCCUACCUGAAAAAGGGGAAAUAAAAAGGGUGUGAGUCUCAUAGACUCAGUGAUCAUCAUCGACCCCGUGAGUAGACGAGGAGGGGAAACAAACAUAAAGAUUGGAUAUUUAUAAAACCAAUAGUAGGCAUAGAAAACAAACUCCAUUAAAUUGAGAGAUUUUGUUUUUAUGUCUUGCAAGUCUUAAAAAUAAUAAAUCACAAGUAAACAUAUAUGAAAACGAUUAUAUUUAGAAUACUAAAAAUCUUUCAACUUUGAUAUUUUGUUAACAAUAAAUUCAAUUACAAGUGUAGAAUGAAGAGUCAAACAUAAAAAUGCGAAAUCACUGAUCACUAAUGAAUACGUAAAUUCCACUUGUCAUUCAAUAAUAAAUUUCAAGUGUAAAUGCCAUGCAUUGUGUAAUAAAAAUCUACAAGUGAGCAUCAUCCUUGGGUCGGUUUAGUAUAGCCCUUAGGCUUACUUUCUCAAACAUCAUCACCUACUCGUGGGAACCUCCCACGCCACCAUAUAUAAAUCGGGGCUUCAGGUCCCCCUUUACCUACUCGUGGGAACUAUCCACGCCACCUUAUAUAAAUCGGGGCUUCAGGUCCCCCUUUUACCUACUCGUGGGAACUACCCACGCCACCCUAUAUAAAUCGGGGCUUUAGGUCCCCCUUUUAUAAUCAAAAUCAAUAAUCAACAAUUAUUACUUUGUGCACAAAGACCACACUUGACUUGGUGUGGUAACAGGUCCUACCCAUAGUAUUUCAAUCACGUUAAAAUGAAAAUCAUUACAAUUUAAUGCAUAAUUUAUUUCAAAGCAUAGCAUAUCCAUCAAAUCAACAUGUUAAGUGAAAUCAAUAAAUUUAUUUAUUUUUUUAUCAAAUCCCAUUAAUAAAAUAAUAACCAUUGGCCCAAACAUCACACAAGCUUGCAAAGUAUGAUUUUGAAGCGAAAGCCAUUGAAAGGUUUGUUUCCCCGUAAUUAAAACCUUGUAGAUAUAUACUUAUGUAUAAUACAAAAAAAAAUGAAUUUAAAAUCCUUGAUUUCAAUCGCAAACAACCUAGAGUUUUUUACCAACUCAUGCUUUCCACAAUUUCAUCAACCAUCAAAUGUAAUAUAUAUAAUAUAUUUACAAGGAUAUAGUUUUUGAAAUUUAGUACCCACUCACCUCAUAAUAGCAGGACGCUACAUCGCUAUUUCUUAUUGUCGAUCGCUCGUCGUUUCUUCUAACCUGCCACUGCAGUGCACCACCUUUACUUACUUUUCCUGAAUAGUGAAACUCAUUAUUAUUAUUAUUAUUAUUAUUAUUAUUAUUAUUAUUAUUUUCUUUCUUUUUUUUUAUUACUUUUUUUUCUUCAUCUCCUUUCUCCCCUUACCGUCGGCCUUCCUUCUAGCCGACGUUCCUCUUUUACUUUUUUUUUUUCUUUCUUCCUUCCCUCUCUCUUUUUUUCUUUUUUUUCUCCCUUUUCCUUCUCCUCCGACACCGCUACUCUCCCUUUCUUUUCCUUCUUCUUUUUUUUUCCUUCACCCUUUUCCUUCUCUUUUGGGACCACUGCUCUCCCUCUGUCUUCCUUCUUCUUUCUUCUUCUCUCUCUUUCUUUUUCUCUAGCAUGCCCCUACUCUCCCUCUCUUUUCCUUUUUCUUUUUUCUUCUCUCUCUUUCUUCUUCUCCAACACGUUGCUCUCCCUUUCUCUCUUUCUUUUUCUCCAACACGUCGCUCUCCCUUUCUCUCUUUCUUUUUCUCUUGGCCGGCCCCACCUUUUUCUUUUUUUUUUUCCUUCAAUGGUCGAGCCCCCUUUACGAGGUGUUACAUUUAGUUUGCUAACAAAACAUAUUUAUAUAAUCAAACUAAAUUGUAACCUUAAAUACAAUAAUUAUAUUUUAAUUUAAUUAAGUCUCUGUGAACUUAAUUAAUUUUUAUACUUUAAUUUGGUCUAUUCUAAUUAAGUCAAACUCAAUUGAUUAUCUUUAUUUAAUCUCAAUCAUGUCACUUAAUGUGUGUGACCCAUUAGGCUUCUAACAUGUUGACAAUAAAUAUAAAUCAUAAUCAAAUAUCAAUUUGAUAAUUAAUUUAUAUUUAUAGAUCAUGAGCGGCAUCUAACAAUACAUCACGAAUACUCAAAUGUUAGAGAGUCAAUUAAAGAAUUUGACAAAGCCCUUUAGUGAUAAGCUUCUCACUACAACACAGUCCUUUCAUCAAAUAUCUUGGAUAUGUUAUUAAGCAUGGCUUGGUGUCUACUUAUGACAUUCCAUAUUAGUUCUCAUAAUUCAUGACUAAUCUUAUGAAUUUAGCAAACUAAGUUUCCUCAAAUUCAUCAUGAUUUGGCCAAAUACAUUAAACAAAUUAAUCAAGAAUUAAAAACAAGUAAGAUACAUCCUCUCAUAGCAUUUGGGGUGAUGAGUCUUCUCUUGACUAGUUAUUCACCUUUGCAUGUAUCAUGGCAUGCUUAAGAACACCAUGUUUAGGCAUUUGGUCGCCUUCAACGCCGUAGGGGUGAAACCAAAGUAUGUCAUUCCUCAUACAAGAUGACAUGGUGUCUCAAGUUUGAGGAUGACUAACCUUAUGAAUUUAGCAAACUAAUUUUCUUCAAAUUCAUCAUACUUUGGCCAAAGACUUUAUACAAGUUAAUCAAGAAUUAAUAACAAGUAAGAUACAUCCCCUCAUAUCACUCGGGGUGAUGAAUCCUCUCUUGACCACUUUUCAUAUUCGCAUACUUCAUGGCAUACCCCAAAACACCCUGUUUAGGCAUCUGAUCAUCUCUUAAUCCGUAGGGGUAAAAUCAAAUUAUGUCAUUUCCCAUACAAGAUGACCUAGUGUCUCAAGUCUGAGGAGUAGUUGCACGACUAUCACAUGAUAACAUAUUCCAUAGACAUUUAGGUGAAACACCAAAUGAAGUUCUAAUAACAGGUCAUGUUCAGUAAACUUGUUCUUUAACAAGCAUCCACAUGUUAUCCUCAACUAUCCUAUAUACUUCAACUUAUGAGAUUGAUUGCUUACUUUCCAAGUAAUGAGGCUUAACAUGUACUAAUCUUUGAGCAUUGUCAAUGCCUUGUCUUGACAAUACAAUGACCAUGAACAAUUUUAAGAACAUAGCUUUGAUGCAUAGUGAUAUCAUAAGUGAAACAACUUUACAAUUCUUUUACAAGGCUUUUAUGUUCCAUGGGUUUCAUCCAAUCAGUGCUUAGUAACUCUUUAUUAUUGCACUAACAUUAAGAAAAACUUCUAUCACAUAUAGUUAUGUAAUUAAAUAUGUAUUAAAUGAUAAUAUAUAUUCCUUGACCAAUCUAAUUGGCUCAAGGGCGUAUACCAACAAUUUUCCACUUGCACUUGAGUCAAUUGCUAAUGUAUCCAAUAUCGAACUUUUUCGCUUGGCAACUGUGUCUGUACUAGGAUACCUCAAAUUGCAAUAUUUGGAAAUAUGUUAAUUUACAUGUUUGACAAUCUCUGUUGUCAUAAUUGAAAUACUAAUUUAGAUUACAACGAGACCUUGAUUCCAUUAUUAUAGCUCUUGUUGUUACCUUAACAACUCGAAAUCAUUUAUUGGUUCAUUAAACCAAUGAUCCAAGUAUCUUUUCUUUUGUAUCCUAAAUAAAAGAUUUGUAUCCGAUUAUAAAUAUAAUCAUGUAGUUAUCUCUUGUUUUGGAACCGGUCCAAUACAAUUGCUCAAUCAUGACUUUCAGUCACUUCUAACAUUUAGGAUUCUUUCUAUGUUAAACUCUUUUAAUAUGUAAUCCUAAAUUCUUUUCUGGAGUCCCUUUCUAGGCUCUAACUCUUUAGUCCAAUUAUAAUUUUUUUUUUAGACUGGUAAAUGCAUCUUGUACACUUUUAAUGCAUAACUUAUCUUACUCCCACUAACCUUAUAAUGUGCACAAAAUAUGUUUAUCUUAUUCAAUAUAUUCAACUAUUUUGAAUUUAUUACAUUGAAUAGAGAUUAUUAUCUAAUCAUUCAUGUUGGAUUAUUUAGUAGACUCAUCUUAUAUGAGUAGUACAUCAAUAUGCGUCCUACUAAUAGUUUAUAUUUAAUGGAUUCAUCUCAUGAAUUAUGCAUCCUUAUGCAUCCCAUUAAAUCAAUCUUUGUGUAUAGAUCUUAUCUAUUGGAUUUCAUAAUUUCAUAACCCUUGAUCUUUAAAAAGUCAUUAGCUCCACUAUUUCUAUCAUGUAUAGAAAUCCUACCAAGUAAACUUAUUUACUUUCUUUUGGGGCAUUAUAUCCAUAACUUUUUAUGUAUAAAUACAUAUUAUAAGUUGUUCAUCAUUGGUUAUGGGAUGAAAUCCUAUCAAAGGUUAAUUCAUGCAAUUAACUAGGUUUGGAAUGCUUUAUGAUUCGUCUCUUAUGAAUUCAAUAUGAUAAUCAAUUGUUAUUUAGUUCUAAGCAAUCUUAAUUUAGAUCCAAGAUUUCAUUAAAAAUGCUCAUUGACUAAAUAUGUUCAUAAUCCUAUUAUGAAUUCAUUGAGUUAUGACUCAAUUUUAUCUAAGUCAACUCAUUAAUUUCCUUUUCUGAUUCAUAAUCAAAAGAAAAAUAAUCUAACAAUGAUCUUAUCAUUAUGACUUAAUAUUGAUUAUCAUAUACGCAAGGUUAUACUUAAAGAUAAAUAAUUUAGAGCAAUUCCAAGAUAAAAUGAGAUGUACUAUAAAUAUAUAAAUACAUAUAAGCUAAGCAUCUCAUGCUAGAAAAAUAUAAAUCUAUGUUUCAUAAAAAUAAAAUAAAAUAUUCAGUCAUAGGCCCAAAACCAAAACAUCUCAUCUUGACAAUCAUGUCAUGAAAACAUUCAAUGUUCUAAAAUUAUUUAUUGUUCCACAAUUUAAUCUAGGUCGACAAGCUUGAUCACUAUCAACUAGGGUUGUUCCCUUCAUGAUCCUAUUUUUCACUGCUCUUUGUCAUUAGUUCCUUCAAUAUGUCAUACAUAUUAUGUCAUACAUAUUAAAAUCAUUAAUAAAGAGUACAAUAUCAUAUAUCAAGUAGUGAAAAAUAAUCAUCACGUGAUUCAUACCUAAAGUGGAAACUUUUUUUUGUUUCUUCCCUUUGAUGGAUUCAAGAUAAUCCUUGCAAUUGCACCUCUAAUGCCCAAGUUUGCCAUAAAAAUGGCAUUUGUCAUUGUCCUUGUCCUUCUGCACUCUUUCCAUAGGCUUCAUAUCUUUCAAAGUUGAUGCCUUUUCACCCUUAUCUUUCUUAGAAAAUUUUCUUUCCUUAUUUUUAUUUUUCUUAGAAGAAACAAGAUGAAUUAGAGGCUUCUCCUUCGCAAUGGUGUUCUCAGUCUGUGUGAGCGUAUUUAAUAAGCCCACAAGGGUUACCUCAAUCUUGUUCAUGUUGAAGCUCAACAUAAACUAUGAAUAGCUCUCUAGUAACGAAAAAAGUACAAGGUCUAUGCUCAAAUUAUGAUCCAUAACCCAACCCAACUGCUCAAGUCGAGUGAUAUAUCCUAUCAUCUUAAGCACAUGAGGCCUUACUAGGCUUCCCUCAGAUAUCUUACAUUGGAACAAUUCCCUUGAAAUAUCGAAUCUUUCUGUGCAACUUUCCUUAUCGAACAUUUCUCUAAGGUUUAGGAUAAUAUCCAGAGCAUUUAUAGCUUCAUGUUGCUUUUGAAGAUCUAGAGUCAUACUAGCCAACAUCACACAUGUGGCAUGAUCGAGAUCAUCCAUAUAAACUCUAUAGGCCUCAUUGUCCUCAUUUGUAGCACCGUCGCUAGAUUCAUUGGGAACAAGACUAUCUAAGAAAUAAACAUUUUUUCUCUUGUUUCAAGACAAUCUUGAUAUUGUGAAACCAGUCAAUGAAAUUUAGUCUUGUUAACUUGUUUGCAUGAAGUAUGCUUCUAAAUGACAAACUAUUCACCAUGAUAGAUUUAUAUUCAAUAUAAACUAACAUAUAUAAUUAUUAGUCACUAACAAAAAUUAUAUAAUCAUAAAGACAAAGUUUCAGAAUCUUAUAUGAUUAUUCUCAAUAUUUUAUCAAAAUAAUAGCCCUCUUCUAUUAUUUCAAGAAUUUAACUUUUAAACUUUUUAUUGAGCUAGGACCAUUUUCAUCCCACCAUGACCUUGAGUGACUCAACAAGUCAUAAUGAAACUAAUUAGGUAGAUAACUUAACUUACCAAUUGUAUUUUAUACAACUCCUAGAUCAGUUAGGUGAUAACUCUUUGUCUAAAUGCAUCAUAUACAUUUUGCCUAACUAUGCCUCUAAUACUAUGUGGUCAUGUGUGACACAUCUAAACAACAUGGUACUAGUUGAGUAAGACCCACCAAUAACUCAAACGUACUCGUGAAAAAGUUUGGCUUUGAGUGACUCAAAAAGCCUCCAAUUAAAAGAGCAUCCUGAUUAUCUUGUUAUAUAGUGAAAGGUAACUUUUAGACUUAAUAUUUUAAUGAGAGAUUUUAUUUAUUAAUUCAUUAAUUAAGGUCUCAUUAAUUUGGCAUUGUUGACAUGCAUAGCAUUUAUUGCAUUUCACAUAUAUCUCAUAUAUAUAUAUAUAUAUAUAUAUACUGAAAAAUAAAUCUAUCUCAUGCCAACUUCUAGGAUGAUUAUGGACUUUACUAAUUCUAAUUUUCUCGAGCCAUUAAGGAAAUUAGUUGGUCAAAAUCCUAGGGGAUUUACACAAACAUCGUCUUCAAGCUUUUCUUGUAAUUUCCUUGAAUCUCCAUGGCGCCUUUGGAUCUCCAUCUUCAAGUUACAAAAAUUUUUUCUAACCCUAGUUUUACACUUUGAUGUAACUAAUUACAUUUUAUAAUCAAGAAACCUCGAGUUACAUUCGAGGGGAGUUACGUGAGAAAAGAAUUUUACAACCCAGAGAAAAUAGAGAUAAGGCAGGAUGCGCAUACAUUAUUUUAAAAUAAAUACUAUGAGAAAUAAAUUUAACCAUCUAUGACCUAAUUUUCUAAAGUCUAAGUCCAUAAUCAUCCUCAUGCUUUAUAAUCAUAAUCAAAAGCAUAGAAAUAAAUGCAAAUUCAAUAUCAUUUGGUGAUCUUAUGUGUUAUUUGAGAAAAGCAUCAAUUAAUUCACUUAAAGUGCUAGACUCUUAUUAUUUUGUAUUGUUUUAUUUCAAUUUAGUGUUUAAGAAAUUCCUAUUUUCAAAACACUUAAAAGUAAACAUUUUACUCCUUAUUUCUUAUUAGAAUUCACUGAAAUAAAAUUUUCCUUUUUAAGACUUUUCAUUUUAAUUCUUUUCAUAAUUAAAACUCCUUUUAAUCUUGGAAACAUCUUUUUUUAGGUAAACUUCCUAAAAUAUAUCUAAGAUAACAUUUUAUUUUCUAACAUUUAGAACAUGAAUUAGUUUCUUAAAUUGUAUGUUGUUCAAGUUACUUAAAUGGUGACUUAACAAAUUUGGAAACUUCUAGUCAAACCAAAAUUUUAAGGAAAGUUCAAUGCUAUCACAUAACUUUAGGAAUUUCUUCUGAAGUAUGAAACUAUUUCCUUUGAAUUUCACAAAUUAAAAUACUAUCCUUAAUUUUAAGAAUUUCUUUUAAAGUAGGAAACAAUUUCUUUUUUUUUUAUAAAUCACUCAAAAUUAAAAUAAAUGGCAUUUAAGUGCUUUUAAAACUCCAUAAAUCACGAGUCAAACUGAGGAAAAAGUUGCUGAAAAUUUUCAGCAAGUGUGUUUAACAAUUAAACACAUAAUUCAUAAAGAAUUAAGCCACCAAAACUGAUCAUAGCUGCCAAAAAUUUUCUAUAUUGAAUCUUUGUUAUUUUGGAACUCGAAAAAUUAUUUUUAUGAACCUUUUUCAUACUAAAUCAAGUUUAGCCGAAGCAUGUAGUAAUUUAAUUUAAUAAAACUAAUUUUUAACAAUUAAAAAUUGCUCAUAACAAUUACCCAAUGUUAAUAAAAAAUAAUCAACGCACUAGUUUUCAAAACACCUUAAAACUAUUCGGUUUUAAUUUGGCUUUGCAAGCCUUUUUAUCCAAUCAUUAAUUCUUCAACUAAAUAUGAUUUUAAACCUUUUAAAACAUGUUUUAAUAAAUUAAUUACAUGUUGUCCAGAAUUGAAUUAAAACAGAAAAAUAAAUUUUAAAAAAAGCUUUGAGAACCGAUAUAUACCAAAUCAACACAUAAAUCAAUCGUAUUAAUUAUCAUCAAGAAUCAAGCAUGCAUAUUACAUAAAAAUAUCAAACAAAAGCUCUUAUACCAAUGUUGAGAUUCGACUUCAUAAACAAUUUAAGAUAACAAUCAUGUUAUCAUCCUUACAUGUUUAGACCUUUCUGCUUAGAAAUCCAUAGUUAAAUAUUUCAAUCUCUUACUUUUGCUAUACAUUCUUUUCUUGAAACAUUUUAUUUACUCAUAGAUUAUUACAACAUUAUCUUUAUUUAUUCCUAUUUUUCAAAGAUGUAGGUAUGUUUAAAGCUACAGGCCAAAUAGACAUGGGAUAUCCUCCCCUUCAUUGAGUUUAAACAAGAAAAUUUGAUGAAGGGAAAGGAGAGAGAGAAUGAAACAAGGAAUUUCCUAAGCUAAAUAUGAACUUGUUCAAACGAUUACAUCAUGCACAUCCACCAAAUAUAUUAUAGAAAGACUUGCUCAAAAUACCAUUCUACAACAGCUAAUUUGUUCCCUUUAAAUCUUUCCUUUGAGAGAAGAGAUGAAGUCUUUCAUUCUUCCCCAUUCUGCCUCGACACUUUUCUCCUCCUCCUCAGCAACCUUGGCCUUGGCCGCAUACUCUGGCCAUUCCUUUCCCAUUGCGUCCCGCUGCGCUUUCAAGUCCUGGGAAAUUUUGAAAAUUUCCUUCCGCUCAGCCAAGAUAUUCUCUUUAUUCUUUUGUGCCUCAACAACUUGCUCAUGGAGAGAGGCAAGUUUUUGCUCUGCCUGUUUCACCUCUGCCUUGGCCUCUUUAAAUUUGACUAAACUAUCCUCUAAAUUACGAGAAAGUGCCAGCUUGACAGAUUCCUUCUCAGUAAGGAGAUUCUUGUCCUGCACUGCUUUCACCACUCGCUCAGGUAGUUGUUUAAAGUUCUCCUCCAUGGCCAACAACUCAUUUUUUUGCUCAAUCGUAAAGGUAGAGGAACAAUCAAAACAAGAUAGGACCUUGAAAGCCUUCUUAAGUGAAGAAAUCAUCCCUGAAUCAUAAAAGUUAGCUGGGGCCAUGUUCAGGGCUUCAUCUAUGUUGACCAGAGCUUCCUUUGCUUCUUCUUGAGAAGAAACCAUGUUCCCGCUUGCGAGCUCAGACUCUAAGCUAGUAAAGAAUGUGUCCAUAUCUUCCUCAGUAGGGUCUUCAGGUUCAAUGGUCUGAAAUAAAGGGAAAGAAAGUAAUAAUAGAGAUACCAAAGAUGCAUAAAAUAUUUACAAUAAACUUGGCUGACUUACCUCACUCUGGGAAGAAGACUGAUCUGCAGGUGGCAAAUUUUGGUUGG